UUAUUCGCCUGCUGUUGCGGCAAAGCAUCAGGCGGUUACUAUCUCCUUAAUGAAAGGCUCUUCGUUUGGGCAAAUUUUUCCGCAUACACACUGGUCGUUAAAUGCUGAGCAACAUCCUCCUGGAUAAUUCUGAAGCUUGCAGUAUUGUUUACAAAGAUUCACGUCACAAUGUCGACCUUGAGGAUCCUCCACAAGAGGACGACUCGUAAUACGUGGACAAGCUGCUGUGCAACGACACGGACCAGAUAGUCCUGCGCAGCAUGCUGGCUUACCAAAAAGUGAGCAAUAUUUUCUACAAAGAUCCCAGUUACAUCGUUUAGCAUCCACCACAAGAGGACCGCUCAUAUCUGUUUAAAACAAGGAAAGAGUAUACACAAACACAGUUUAAUAUAUAAUACAGUCCAAAGUAAACAAAUACGAAUGCUUUGCUAGCUUGCUAUGAAAAUUAAAGUUGUUCUGAUUAUUUCAAAUUUGGUAAAUUAACAUGUAUAUAGUAUGUAACAAGCUAUGGAGUUGAAUAAAUUACGAACCAGUGGACUGGGAGACCAACAGCAGGAGGGACACUAUUGCAAAUGACCUCACAGAGAACUCCAUAAUUGAGAAAGAGAGAGAGAUAAUAGGAAGCUUUAGUGAAAUGUGAGUGAAAGACUCCCUGCUUAUAUCUCUUUAUAUAAUGUUUUAAGUGUGCUACCAAAAUUGUUAUAAAAUGUUGGAAAAAUGCUUGUUGUACAUCAUCAUAUUUACAUAAUUUUUUACAGAUUGAUGAUGAGUCAACAAGAAACUGUGGAAUUUUUAAAUUUUUUUUUUUAGUUGAAAGAUUUUGACCCAAUCAAAUCUCGUCGCAUCAUUUGUCUGUAAACAAAUAUGUAAGUUGCGAUAUAUCUAUAGCACAAACAUUUACGUAAAACACAACUUCUUUUAGUGGAGGGUUUGCACAAGAUGUUGACACGUGGACUUGUUGAGGCUUUUAAAUUUGCUUCUGGAUAACUUUGCAUGUGAGUUUCGAGAGAAACUGCUACAGUUUCUUGGUCUCCUUCUUCUUCCUGAAAACCUCACUCGAGAUUCCUAAUAUCCUGCUCCAUCUUUCUGAUUUUCGAUUUCUUACUUGGUGAAGAUGAAUAAGAACUGAGUGUUCUUUGAUUUGUUUUGUUCUAAAAGGGUACUGAUUAGGAUUUGUGGUGUUAUCAGGAAUAGUAAACUUUUUGGAUACUAAAAAAAUAAGUCUCCAUAACUUUAUCUUUUGUAAUUUGAACAUUUUGUAUCAUGAAUAUCAUUUUGAGACUGUUCUACUGUAGGGCAUUAUUCACUUCUGUGGAUGCUUAACAAGGUAAUAGAUAUUGAUGGAAAUCUAAGCAUGUUGAUACAAAGUGUAAGAUUAGGAGAAUGGAAUAAGGAGCGAUAUGCGUUAGAAAGAUGUGUUUUAAGGUGAAUAUGAAGUACUAUUUUAGUAUGGUGUUUUGUAUCAUACCACUUUAGAAAAAUAUAUAUAUAUUGAAAAUAUAUUUUGUAUAAAUAAUCUUUAAUCAUAAUUUUAUUGACAAUAAUUUUAUGUACAAAUACUUUUUUAAUCAGAAAUAAAAAAAAUUUUCACUUAUAAUUAAUUUUUGACUUCUAUGUCAUUAUUUUAUUAUAAGUAAUUGUAUUUUUGUACUUUGAAGUGAAUUUUUUUACUUUUAUCCAAAGACUUUAUCUAUAAGUGAAUUAUUUUUCUCAUCGUAGAUUUUACUUGUUAACGUAAUUAUGCAUAAAUUUUUACUUAUUAGUAAAGUUUUACUGACUACAAAUUAUUUAACAUAAAAGUGGGUGUUUUACAAAAAGGUUAAUUUUUUACUUACGACUGAAUAAUUUUUUAGUUAAUUUUUACUUGUAUAAAAGGUCUUUUCAUGCCAUUGUAUGAUUGAGACAGAUGUAAAAUUUCCAACCACGUGUUAUACAAAUUUUAGAUUAAAUAUUAAGAAUAAAAAUGGUCAUCAUGUCUUUUGUCCAAAUCGAAACACAAAAAUAACGUGAACUAAAUUUAGUAACUAACGAGUAGAUACAAUAGUUUGAAAGGUCUUUUUCAUAUCAUUGCAUAAUUGCGACAAUGUAAAAAUUUUCUAAGCACAUUUUUAUAUCAAAGAGUAUUCUAUAUUAUUUAAAUCGAAUUCGAUAUUUUCUAGAAUUAUUUAUAGUAAUUGCUCCUCCAUAAUUUUUUUCCAAAUCUAAACACGACAUUACGAGUGUACCAAAAUUUUAAUAGGUGAAAUUUGAAGGAUCUAAAUGGGUUGCUCAAAAAGUCAAAGGACUGAAUUGAAGAUGUUGAAAACUUUGAGGACCAGGGAUGAAAAUACCUUGCGAAUGGUGGGUAGGAGGAGUGAAUGUUUCAUAGAACCUGUCAUGUCAUGCCUUGCUGCCCAAUUUCCUAGUGCGAGUUGGAAACAUAAUUUUUAAGGUCUGCGGGUAUUCCAAUCACAUUUUUUUUUCUUUUGCACAUUUUAAAACUUAUUUAAAUAGGACUUCGUAAUAGAUUGGAUGGAUGUAUUCAACUUUUUUCAUCUCCCUAUCAUUAAAACUUUAUAUUUUUAUUAUUGAUUGUGUCCACCUUAACACAGCUAUCUGCAUCAUGUCAAUUCAAAGUUGCUCAUUUUUUGUUAAAUUCUUGUUAUUUCUGUGGUUUGGUUAUUAUUUUAUUUUGAUGAUUGUUCAACAAUAAAACGUGUUUGUGAUUUAUAUUGUUUUCUAGAGGUUUGAUAUAAAUUAGCUCAUGGUAAUAAGCAACAUAGGGUAUGCUAGUUGAUAGAAAAAUCAGCACAUCCUCUGAAAUCGAAUGAGAUGAUCUUUGUGAAUAAUGAAUGCUUAUGUGUUCAAAAUUUAACUAAAAUUAAAUAGGUUCACAUAUGAGCUUGGAAUUGAUUGACCUUGAUAGAGGCUUUUUGAUUAAAACUGGAUCAUUGAUUUUCAAUUUAGGCAAGAAUCAGCAAUUGAAUGGUAAUUAAGAAGUGAAUUAGGAUUUGAACGGUAGAUUGUUGAUCUUGGGCUUUGCUUGGUAAUUUUACACUAAGAUCUUAAUAUGUGUUGGGCUUUUGAUACCCAAUAAAUCCCGGACUAUGAUGUUAACGAGGGUUCAUAUUAUUUCAUAGGCAUAGGUCGAUGAAUGAAAUAAGUCCAACAACCAAGUCUAUGAGUUACACUCGGCCCAAUUAUAUUUCCUCUUGGAUGACUUGAAUCUUGGACCGUUUACCUUUUUAAAGGUCCAACUUAAAGCCUAACCCUAGAGUAUAUAUAUGACUACAACCCUAGCCACUUUCUUGUGUUGCCCCCUUUGUGUGUGAAAAAACGCUUCUAGAAAUGUCCAAAACGCUUGUUUAACGUGUGCAAUUGGUGGUUCCUUCAUAGUAUAUUUUUAUGGUGUCUUCUCCUAACCUUUGUGGCCACAAAUCAUCAUCUUUUUUUGUCCUAUGUGGGUAAGAUUGAAUAGAAACCGAGGAGAAUUAAUUGGUUGUGGUUUGGAGCUGAUUGGACUGAUUGUUGGUUGAGAAAUGUGCGUUGGAUUAAGCCCGGAAAUCACCGAUUUGAAAAUCUUUCAAGAGAGUUUCCGCAACAUUUGGUAUCAGAGUUUCAAAGUGGUGGUUUUGGCUCUUGAAAUUUAGCAAAAAAAAUCGUCCAAAAAUUGGUAGAAUCAAACAAGAAAUUAGAUCGAAAAAACUGUCAAAAUUAGUUUCCAUUUUUUGCAUUUUUUGUUCAAUUCAGAAGGAGUUUUGGGAAACAGAGAUCAUUGGCAUAACGUGCAGGUAGAGUAGAACCCUACAGGGUGGCGCGUGUCAGAGAUGGUAGGGCGUGGCAUCAGCGCGUGAAGACCACGUGCAGAGAGAGUGAUGGCGCAUGCGGCACGUGGAGCAUUUUUUGGCGACGGUCUCUUCAGGCAGUUUGUUCCUUAUAUUAUUUUUGACAUUUUUUGUGUUGAAAUUUUUUGUUUCAGGACCUGUAGAAAAAUCUGGACAGUGUUGUUCUUCAGGCAUUCGGGACUGGAUCGUGAUUUUUUGGUUGCUGCAGUUUCUAGAGAUUUUAGGAUGAAUAGUGGUGGUCCUAUAGUGAUAAAUUCGCAACUCUCGUAAUUUACGGACUCGAGCAGGUCCGCUCUGGUAUAUUGGCUUAACUUAGUUUAAAUUUCAACAUUAGCAAAUUAUCGUGUGGGGUGAUCGUUAGGAUUGGGGAUUGUCAUUGCUUGACAAUCAUUGCUUGUGCUAGAAAAUUUAGGAAUUAUUUGCUCUAUUUUUGAAGUGUUGAGCUUUGAUUACAUGUUGGUAGUUGAUUUUGUGCUUAUCUAUCAUAUAAUCACUGUGUGAGACUUGUUGCGUGAAAAUUUGAAUUUUAUGUUUAUACACCUUCGUGCUUGCAUUAAUUAUCCCAUUAGAACUUCAAACAUUCCCUUGAUCUAAGAUCGGAAUCUUAUGAAACCCUGAGAAUCUAGAACGAUGUAUGUUGUGACUUUAGGAUUACUUUGUGUGAUCUAUUUGUGACUUGGUUGUUCUGUUUUUUUAUUUUCUCCUUAAAAAUGUCUUCAUACUUUGAAGUUGAAAUUUUUAAUGGGAAAUGAGAUUUUUCAAUUUGGCAACUAAAGAUAAAAAGUACUUUGGUUCAACAAAAAGUUUCAAAGGCCAUAGAUGGGAAAUUUCCUGGAAAUUUAACGGAAGCACAAAAAGAAGAGUAUGAUAAACUUGCAUACACUUCAAUUAUUUUACACCUGUCCAAGACUGUUUUGAGAAAAGUAGGAAAACUGGAUUCUACAAAACAACUUUGGGAAAAGUUGGAGGACUUAUAUUUGCUUAAGUCUACUCCAAAUAAACUGUACAUGCUUGAAUGAUUUUUCAGCUUUAAAAUGGAUCCUUCAAAGGAUCUUGAUGACAAUCUAGAUGUCUUUAACAAGUUAGUUCAAGACAUCGUUAAUUGUGAUGAAAAGAUAUCUGAAACGUAUAAGGCUAUUAUCCUAUUUAAUUCCAUGUCUGAUUCAUAUAGUUAAGAAUGCAAUUAAGUACGGUAGGGACACCUUAACACUUGAGAUUGUCAUAAACUCGCUUAGGAGUAAGGAGAUGGAUAUUAAGUCUGAAAAAGAGGAUAAGAUGAAUGGUGAGUUACAUAUUAUGAGGAGUAGGAUGAAGUUUAAGCAAAUUAAUUUAGGUAGAGCUCAAAAUAGUGAUGAUUUGAGUAGUGAGUCGAGUGAUGAAGGUGGUAAGAUGAAGGGCAAGGGACAGGACAAAUCUAUUGGUAGAAGGUGUUACAGCUGUAGUAAGUCUAGACACUUUAUUAGGGAUUGUCCCAAAAAGAAGGAUAAAUUGAAGGGUAAGAUGAGAGGUGAGAUGAAUUUGGUUGAGGGGUCGAGUUAUGACCCUAGUGAGAUUUAUUGAGAGUAGACCUAGUUACUGUAUAUGCAUCUGUGUGUGAUCAUUUCUGUAUAUGUGUGAUUGUCUAAAUUUUGUUGCAUGAUUAUCUGCUACAUUUCAAUGUGUUUUAUAUGUGCAUUUGCAUGAAUUUGAGACAAUAUGAUUACUUGGUGUAAUUGUUUGAAUGCAUAGUGGGUUAUGAUGCAUUAGCAGUGUGUUAAAUUUUUUUUGGUAUGGUAGAGUGUAGAUGUCUAGCGGUACAUUGUGGUUUGUACCGGGGAUGUAGAGUGUGACAUUUGGAUCACGAGUGGAGAUGUGAUCAAAUGUCUAGGAUCAUUUAUCUGUAAAGAGACCCUAAUCAGGUAGAGUGUGAGAGAGACACUUCUAUCACUUUUGUUAGGUGGAGACCUAUUAUCCACGUAGGUUGGGAGAAGUGAUGUAGAGAUAGAGAAUUAUCUCAUGGACUUAGGAUCUAUUGUGACUUGCUGAUUUGACAUGAGUUGAGUGAUCUGUUUAGUGAGCAUGUUGGGCAAUGAGAGGAGAUAUGUGUUCUCGAGGUGUGAGUAAUACGGAAUGGGAUAGGAUAAGUGUGAUGAGAUCUUUUCGUAGGGUCAUUUAUGCAUGUAUUGCAUAUGUGGUUGACCGUGGUUUGAUUGACUUGGUGUUAAUCUAUGGUUCUAUGUAAACGUGUUUCUGAAAAGAUCUAUGUAUGUUAUCUUAUAGUAUAUCAUUAUCACAUGUGUAUUUGCUUUUGAUUGUUUAUUGUUAAAUAUUUGCUUCUACUUGGGGUUUUUUUACCUUAGCCCCAUCGAGUACAUGGAGCAGGUAUGAUAUGUGUUUCAAGUUAGAAACAUGAGGUAAGGUUUGUGAUCCAAUUUUAUUGGCUACCUUGAUUAUGCGAGUGCUAAUUGUGUGUUUUGAUUGCUUAUAAAUUUAUUAGGCAUCAAGGUGGAGAUUUAUUGGGUUUUUGAUACCCAAUAAAUCCAGGACUAUGAUGUUAACGUGGGUUAAUAUUAUUUCAUAGGUAUAGGCCGAUGUAUGAAAUAAGUUCAACAACCAAGUCCAUGAAUUACACUCGGCCCAAUUAUAUGUCCUCUUAGAUGACUUGAAUCUUGGCCCGUUUACCUCUUUAAAGAUCCAAUUUAAAGCCUAACACUAUAGUAUAUAUAUGGCUAUAACCCUAGCCACUUUUUUGUGAUGUUUUGUGUGGUUUUGAGAGAAAAAUAUAAGAAUCCCGGCUGUCCCCUUUGUGUGUGAAAAAAGGCCUCUAGAAGUGUCCAAAACGCUUAUUUAAUGUGUGCAAUUGGUGGUUCCUUCAUAAUAUAUGUUUGUGAUGUCUUCUCCUAGCUUUUGUGGCCACAAAUCAUCAUCUUUUCUUGUUCUAUAUGGGUAAGAUUGAAUAGCAAUUGAGGAUAAUUAAUUGGUUGUGGUUUGAAGCCAAUUGGACUGAUUGUUGAUUGAGAAAUGUGCGUUGGAAUGAGCCCAAAAAUUACUGAUUUGAAGAUCUUUCAAGAGAGUUUCCGCAACAAUAUACUCUCAAAUCACGAAGUUAAGCUGUUAUUUCAGGGAAAAAUUUUCAUAACCUAAAAUAUUAAUCGUGUGUUUUUUUAAAUUUAGUUUUAAUUAAAGUAGAGUCUAUAAUUAAUCUUCAUGGGACUAGACUUGACUUAUCAUUAUAUUACUUGUGUACGAUCCAUCAUCUUUUAGGAUAUAUAUUGCAACACUUGAUGAUACCUCUUAAUGUAAGAGUUUAGUUUUCAUGUUGUUGUUUGUCUAUCAUGAUGAUGUGGAUUGAUUUUUCAAAUUGCAAAUUCUUCUAAAUUAUAAUGACGAGCCAACUAUAUAUAGGGGACAUCCGAAACUUAAUAGUAGAGUUAUGGUUGAAGUAGAAUUCAAGAAAUAACAUUAAAAAUGGAAUAGGAAACAAAACAGGGCCUACUCACUGUCUAUGUACUGGGAUACUGACUCCGUGUUUCAAUAUAAAGUUGUAGGCCUCUAGGCUCCUCGUCUCCAUUCCCAACAACUUUUUAAGAUGUUUUCUUCAUUCCAAAGUCCUCUUCAAGAAAAACACAAAUUUCAACUCUCGAUUAGAUUUCUAAAUAGAACUUUAACUAAAAUUCGUCAAAUUGACUUCGAAUAGGAUUCCCAAAACAAUUCCAAAUAGAAUUUCUCUUAACGUGCAUUUUAAUUAAAAUUGUAAUUAUUUUCAAUGAAAAAUUCUAGUCAUAUCCAAAUUCCAACAAUCUCUAUCUUGACACGAAUUUCAUCACAAUGAGUAAUCUUUAAAAAAUCUCCACUUGAAUACAAAUUCCACUACAAGGAUUAAACUUAAACUCUUUAAAAAAAAAUGGCAUUUUCCAUAAAAAAGUUUCCAACUGGAAAUAUUCUCCAUCUCUGCUAUCCCAACUAAACGAAUUCUAAUGAUCUCCAAACAGGAUUGAAAUAAAACCCUAUAAUAGAAUUACAACUAAAUGCAUUAAAAGAAUGAUCUUGGCUAGAAUCAAUAUCUUUAACAGCAUUCAAACAAUAAACUAAGUCAGCAGAAUUUUACCUAUGUGGAGUCUUAAGGCGUCAACUGAAUAUAAUGACACCACAGACAAUAGUUGUAAGAUGAAUUUACAAUUAAUUUCUAAAUUCAAUUGAGAUGUAUUCUUUAAAGAAGAUACCAUAUUAGAGCCUAACGGUAAUGAAUCCUACUCCAAAUCCACUUGAGUUCUUAAAAUAUGUUGUAUAACACUACAAGAUAUAUAAAUGGGACUUUCUAUGUCCCUUUAACAAAGCAUGGGCUCCUUUACUAACUUUUAGGACUCCACCUUCAACAAUGCACCUGUACUCCUAUUGAAUCAAGAGUGCUUAAGGAGAUAACAUUUCUCUUUAGGUCUGGAACGUGUCUUACUGCAUCAAGUGUUCUAACGAUCCCAUCGAACAACGCUAUUCUAAUCAAUCAAUAUCAACUACCUAACAACGUGUAUUAUUACUAAUCAUCACAAUACCUUUUGAAAUUACUUCAUAUGUUGAAAAUAAAUCCUAAAUGGGACACAUAUAUAAUCGGUAUCAAGAAUUUAAGUCUCGUCAAGUUUGGAGUUGUAAUUAAAUACAAGUAAAAGCUCUCAGCACUCUUAGAAUUUUCUAAAAGAUUUACUUCCCCUUAAGUUUUUGAUUAUUGAUUUGUAGUCAAUUUUACUUUAUUCUGCGAUUUAUAACAAUCGUUUAUCUAGAGCCCAUUUUUCUUGCAGUAAUUACAAAUUUGUAAGAUUUUGACUUGCCCCUUGCAUGAUUACUUUCAAUAAUGAAGCCAUCUCCAUAAACCUCAGAUGAAAUAAGAUGCUUUAUCUUCUUCUUUGAAUAUAGAGUAUCAUAUACUUCUUCGAUGGUGAAAUUUUACGACUAUAUAAAAUCGUAUCUUUAAAAGACAUGUAUGAAGUAGGCAAAUGAACACAAUAAAAUCAAUCAAAAAUCUUCUUAAUCAUAUUUGACCUCAAGGUCUCCAAAUUAGUGAAGAUUUCCUUAAAAAUGACAAAGUGAUCCUUAAGAGAUGAAACUUCUCUCAUAUUAUGAGAAUAUAGACAUUAUUUUUUAUGUAAUUUGCUAGUAAGUCUCUUAAAAAUGUAUACUUGCUCAAAUUUUAACCAAAAUGCAAUGGCUAACUUCUUCUUCAAAACAUUUUGAAGAAUAUUAUUUGAGAGAUAAAUAUAUAAUUUAGAUAGGGCCUUUUGAUCCCUCCACUGUUUUACCUUCAGAGUUGAAGUUGUGGGCAUCUUAUCAAAUCCCAGUAAUGCAUCGUCCAAAUCCAUCUGAGCAAGUACCGCUCACAUCUUUACAUGCCACAAAGAGAAUUUUAUAUUGCAAUCUAAUAGCAUAAUAUCAUACUUCACAGUUGCCAUCACAAAAAGAUCAGGUUGAGCUAUUAACAUGAUCAAAACCUUGAUCUUCCCAAAAAUUUGAAUACCAAGAGCUUUGUACCAAUUUUUUAUAUAGAAAAUUGAAAUUGGAUUAAUCCAAUACCAAUUUGUUGGAGAAAAUACAAGAUUAUAGGCACAACAUGAAAUAAAAUAACACCAUAACAAUGUAACUUGGAGAGAAUGAAGAUUUUAUUAUAAUAUGAAGAAAGAAUACAAAGAAGGAUGAGUCAAAGUUCUAUCAUUAGUAUUUUAAAUUUUUAAGGACCAUAAGUUUCGGUCACUACAAAGUAAAUUUUCAAAUUGUUGCACAAUAAUUCCAAUGUAAAUUAUGUUGCUUGUUCAACUAUUUUGACAAUGUGUAAGUUGACAGGGAUCCUAAUCAUUUAUUUGAAAAAUUAAUUUUCAAAUUAAUGAUCAAGAUCUUUACACCCCACACUGUCACACUAGUCACACAAAUUCAUUAUACAACUAGCUUAAUUUAUCAUUUUGAGUAAUGUUAGUUCAUAGUUGUAAAUAACAAGAUAUAUUAAUAGAGAUAUUUUAAAAAAAUUAAAACAUUAAUUAUACUUUCAACAAGGAAAGAGACCUAUAAUUUGGGAUUGUUAUUUAGAAAAAUGGAACCAGAUUAAUCCAAUACCAAUUUGUGGGAGAAACUAUGAGAUUAUAAACAGAAUAUGAAGGAACAUGAUGAAAAGUUUAGAUGUAGCCCAUUUAUUUUGACUCAAUGAGUAGAAUCAUACAAUUAAAAUGUGACGUGUGAAACCCUAAUUUGCUUUUUCAAGAGUUUUAUCCGACCAAUGAUACGUAAUUGCCUUUUACUAUAUAUACCAAACCCUAAACACGAAAUUUAGGUGAUUGAUCUUACUAUUUAUUCAUAACAUCCUUUUGAGAGAAAAAUAAUGGCUCUUCAUCUUUUACAUCCUGAGAUUCAUCAACCACAAUUUGGAAAAAAAUCAAGAUCACAUAAUCCAAAACACCCAUUACUUAUACACAUAUAGAAAGGUAUUUUUUCAAUAGCUUUCAGAGGUUGCUGAAAACUGAGAGAAGUUGGACCAAAAGCACAGGAAGAGUACAAGAACAAGGAAUCCUUGGUGAUCCACAAGAGAUAAACAAUUCUAGAAGAUCGAGAACAGGUGUGAGUGAAGCACUUUUUAACAGGUCUUAGAAAUUGCAGAAAGUAGAUCAAUGAGUCAAGUAAAAAUUUCUAGACUAGAUCGUACUAUAAGUUCAUUAUUAUCCAUAGUUUAGGUUAUUGAUUUGGUUUUGAAGUUUUAUCUACUUGAGUUUUCUUUGUCAACAUAUUUUGUGUUGUUUAUUGCUUUCAUAUCGUUGAUUGUGGCAUUCAAACCAUAUGAUAAUCUGACAUGAUUGAUUAACCAUCUAAAAAUAAUUAAAAAGUGAUUUAUUGCUUUUAAUUGUAUAAUUCCACACUUUGGGUCAAAAUAAAUUAGCUAAUUCUAAACUUUCACAUGAGAACAAUGAAUAGAUAAUGGAGAAAGAAUACUAAGAUUUUGUAUUUAAAAUGUUUUAACUCCUCCAUUAAUUAUAUUGAUGAGCUAACUAUACAUAGGGAACAAAUUAGAAAUUUCAAAACCAAAUAGUAGAGUUACACUAUUGCCGGCACCCUGGUGCCCAAUGCCGACUCCUUGUUUCGAUAUAAUGUUAUUAGGGCCUAGGCACCCCGUCUCCAUCCCAAACACUUUUCUUCAUUCCAAUGUCCUCUUUGUUAAAAGUUCUAGAGUAAUUUGUAAUCUUCAUCUAGUCGAAAUCCAAAUUGGAAACUUCAACAACAAAAGAAGAUUGAAAGAGUUCAAAUCCAAAUUGAGUACUUCAACCAACAAAGGCUUUAUUCAUCGAAUGGUCAAAGGAUAAAAUUUUCAAUUCAAGUUGUAUACUCAACUUGUACAAGCUAGAAAUUAACAUAGACAGCAAUCAAUUCACAUUCUAUUCAGCAAUCUGGAAAUUAGGCAGCAGCCAUUUGACACUUAUGAUGUUCAAACACAGCUGCAAAUACAUAUAUUCCAGCUAUAAAUGAUGAAGAAAAAAUAGCUUUUACCUAGUUGUAAUUAUAGAGAAUUAGUAAUACUACUUUAUUCAAUGUUUUUUUAUAAAUAGGAAGGUAUCCAUCUAGUGUUAUGUAUGUAGAAGAAGUGAGAAAAAUCUCUCAAAAAAAUAAAGAAAGAGUGUGUUGUAGCAACGUCAUUUGUGAUUCCUUAAAUUUCAUAAGAAAAAUUUCAUAUUUCUCUUAUCUAUUUCCUUCUACACCCAACACUCUUAAAGUCUAUCACAAAUUCCAAUUUCCAAUUGGACUUCCUAAUAGAAUUUCAACUAGAAUUCGCCAAAUAAAUUUCAAAUAGGAUUCCAAAUAAUCAUUCUAAAUAGAAUUUUUCUUAACCUGCACUUUGAUUAGAGUUCUCAAUUAUCUUCAAAAAAGAAUUCCGGUCAAACUCAAAUUCUAACAAGACAAACAAAAAAGGAAAGUAAAACUAUAUUUGUGGGACGGACAAAGAUUAUAUUUCAUUUAAUUUUGACUAAAUUUAAAAUAAGACAAUUUUAAUGUGUCCGAGACAAAAAUCUUAGGGCCAUGGGACCAUUAAUCAAUUUCCCUUGGAGCUUACUUUGAAUAAUUAAUAAUUUUACAUACGUAAGUACACAGCUAAGUCAUUGAAAUAAAAUCUAAGUAUGCAAUUAUGAAACUUUUCCUCCAAUUAUGUUACUGAACUUCUGUAUAUUCGCCUAUAUUUUGAUAGACUAAUCCAAAGUUUAUGUCGCACUCAAGCCGGAGAAAAAUUACAUGCUUGCAGCAAAUCCAUUUUAUGAUAUGAGUAAUAAAUUGAAAUUUAAAAAAAAAAGUUAGUAAUAAUUGAAUUUCUAUAAAUAUAUACUCGACAACCUCUAGUACCUUUUACCUUUAAUGUAUAGAAAAACUUAAAUAAAAAUAAAAAAUAAAAAAUAAACUAAAACUAAAACACAAAAUGAACAAGGCUUGUUAACUACCAAAUGGAAAAUUUAUGCUCUUAGUCGUACUUUUGAGUACAUAAUAUAGCCCAAAAAAAAUUUGCAUAUAAUGUUUUGAGACUAAUAUCAUAUAGCUAGAAGAAUUAGAUGAAAAUAAUGAUAUCUUCCAUUCUUGCAUUACUAGGUCUUUAAAUUGAAUUAAAAAAUUGAAAUUAAAAAAAAAGAGUAAUAAUUGAAUUUCUGUAAAUAUAUACUCGACGACCUCCAGUACCUUUUACCUUUAAUGUAUAGAAAAACUUAAAUAAAAUAAAAAUGAAAAUAAUAAAAAAAACUAAAACUAAAACACAAAAUGAACAAGGCUUGUUAACUGCCAAAUGGAAAGUUUAUGCUCUUAGUCGUACUUUUGAGUACAUAAUAUAGCCAAAAAAAAAUUGUAUAUAAUGUUUUGAGACUAAUAUCAUAUAGCUGGAAGAAAUUAGACGAAAAUAAUGAUAUCUUGCAUUACUAGGUUUUAUUUUCAUGAAAAUGUCAUAACAUUGCUAAAAUCGCUUUCCUCUUUAACCAUCUUUGUCCCUGCCACUGAUCAACCUAAGAUUUUUCCUAACCUUGAACCCAAUAAUAAGGGAAUCAUAGAACAGAGGCCUACUAGACAGCGUAGGUUCUACCAACCUAGGAAUAGAAGAAAUCAGCGAAUACAUAACUUUGGUCCUAGGUUUAUCCCUACGUGUUUCAAGCCUGAAGAGUUAAGAUAUAUAAAGUCUAGGUGUCAUAAAUUCCUAACCAAAAAUAGAAUCCUUCAAGUGGUAUCUAGUAAUUUUCAAGUGGUAUCAGAGCUAACUAAAAAUAAUAAUUAGGAUUUUGAUAAUCGAAUUGACUUCCUUAGUAAUUAGGUGAGUCAAUAGACUGAGUUAAUUGUUGAGGUUGUUCCACAUCGGUUGUGAAUGGGGUUGGUAUUGAGUUUUAUAAAUGCCGAGAAAACUUAACCUCUUGAGAUAGCUUUUGGGGUGAAAAAGGCUCAAUACCACCCAACACUAGUAUCAGAGCUCGACUUAUCAACAAGUCUCUAGCCCAACAGUCACAUAGAUAUGGAUUUGUGUGAGGGGGAGAUGGUUUUGGUUUUCCGUAGGCCCUAUUUUAUGAGGGGAAACGGGUUUGGUCUCCCGUAGGGCCUGAUGUGUGGACUAGACAUGUUUGAUUUUCGACAAAGCCUGAUAUGUAAGGGGGAGAUUAUUGAGGUUGUCCCACAUCGGUUGUGGAUGGGGUUGGUAUUCAAUUUAUAAUUGUAAGAAAAUUUCUAACCUCUUGAACUAGCUUUUGGAGUGAGAAAGGCCCAAUACUACCCAACAUUAAUGACAUAAUAAACUAGGAUCAAUUCCUCUACUAGGAAAGUUUGGGUGAAGAAAAGUGAUCUUAAAAAUCUUGAAAUAGAUCACUAUGCUCUUAUAGGUAAGAGCAUUUUUAUGUUUUAGGUUCAUAUAUGUGCUUCUUCAAAUAAUUUCCAUUGGCACAUGCAUAUUUUUUUGUGUUUUUGUGUGUUGAAUUUUUUUAUUUUGUGUGUUAGAUGCAUUCAUGUUAAAAAAAAUGAGGGGAGACGUUUUUAACUAUAGUAUGAUAAAUGAUAUACUUGAGCUUGUGUGUUGUGACCAAGUAUGAGCAUAAUCGAUGUACCGUGGCGUAUUUUCCAAUACUUUGUUUAGAUUUUUAUGAAGUACUUAGUACAGGUUUCUUCAUGUACCAUCUACACUGCACGCACUAUGAUAGUAUGAGUGGAACUUGACCACAUGUGUGAGAUUUGGGAUGUCAGUCGCAUGUUGGUAAAGUGAUCUUGAACAUGAAUUGAUUUUAUUUUAGUUAACCUAAGUCUAAGUAUAUUCCCUUAAAAAUGACUAAAUAUCAUGUGCUCUUCUUUAGAGCUUAUAUAACUCAAGCAAUUAAACAUGCGAGAUUUCUCAUAACCUGGUACCUCUGGUCAACUAACUUGGGUUAACCGGCCUAAAGUUCGUUACAAGGGUCAUCUUAGUCGAUUAAUGUAGAAGAGUCUGCAUAUAAGAUAUGAAAAAUUGAUGAGAAAAAUGACGAGCUUCAAAAUUUAGAAAAUGUGUAGAAAAUAUGUAUGCUCAAAGUCAUGGGGAGAAAAUAAUAAUGUACAUGCAAAAAGAGCUUCUUUAUAGGUCCUAUAUGCACUAAUCUGUUUGACUUUCAUUAGUAGAGGAAUAAACAUAUUGACAGUGAUAUAUAGCAUGUUCUUUCUCCCAAAAUUAAGGUUUGGAAUCAUGCUUACAAAGGACUAGUGACACUUUACACACAUGAGUAACUUAUACAAUUUACUCCAUUUUAGCUUGAACUGAGUAAAGUUUACUAAUCAUUGACUAUGUUUGCACAUGCUAUGAAUUGCAUCUUUGAGUUGAUAUGUAUUAAUGUUCAAUUGUUUUUUUUAUAAAGUUUCCAUCAUCAUUUGUGACAAAAAUGGGGAGAGAGAGUUUUGAUUGUUGGGUGAGUCUGCAGUAAGGGGGAGAGAUGAUCGUAAGAGGGAGUUGAUUGUAUUUUUUGCAUUCAUGGCAUUCUAUAUCAUAAUGCAUAGCUUUUUUGAGUUUUAAUUUUUUGUGAUAUUAAUGUUUCAUUUGGUGCUUUGAUUAGUGAAAUAUCGUAGUUCGACCCAAUCAACACCUAGAGGGAGGUGAAUAGGUGUUUGUGGAAUUUUCUUUUUCAAUCAAUUAAUAAUUGCAACACAUCACAAAUAUUAAUUUGUCCAAAUCAAUUCACAUGCGUUACUAUCCUAUGUUUGAAUACCGGUAAUAAACUAAUAGCAGAAAAGUAAAUAACGCAAUUGUUUGUUGACGGAGAAACCCCAAGGUAGGUAAAACUCUAGGCCCAAGCCAGUAGGAAUCCACUAUAAAUGAAAAUACAACUUACAAUAUGUCAGACUCAACCCAUACUGAUUUUUCUGACCUCCCGACUAUAAUUUCCUCAAAGCCUUCUUGGAAUGCUUGAUCAUGCACCAACUCCCAGCUCCUAGCCCUCCUGAAUUGUGUGCUACACCAAUUCUCGGCUCUUGAUUUCGUCUAUCUCCUGUGGAUUCAAGAGAACUGCCUGUUCUCUAACGAUCGGGACUCUGAUCUCUUUCCUUGAUCUCCAAGAAUCAACAAAAGCAAGAAGGUUGUAUUGUGACGUUUGAUGAAUGUAGAUUUGAUGUUUCUAGAUGAUUGCGUGUAUCAAAUGUGGGAUUAAAUGAAUGAAUCAAGUGUAGAGAGUUUUUCUUUAAUUUCAAUCCUUAUGAGAGACGUAUGAAAAUCAGCGCAAUUUAAUUUAUAUAAAGUGUAUUAGGACAUUUGGGUUAGGUCAAAAUGUCAAAAAAAGGAAAAUAGGGUUUUCUAGGUAAUACCGUCACUCGAGCGAGAAGCAAGUUAAUUAUUGCCUUGUCUUCUUUCAACAUGUUUUCUAAAAUCACAACUCACAUACCCAGUGUAAAAGCACAAGACACAGUAAUAUAAGUUAUCAUAAUAAAGACAAACAGUCAUGCAUAGCCAUAAUAUUGUCCCAAAAUGCUAGAUUAAGAUACAAUAUCAAUGUAAGUCAAAUCACCAAAACAUACAUCAAUAUUUCAAAAACAUCAAAACAUAAUCUAACAAAAAUAGCAAAAUUGCAGUAUCAAUCAUUACAAUAGCAAAAUUGCAGUAUCAAUCAUUACAAUUCCCAAUGCUACUCCCCCUUUUUUUCAUAAAUGGCAAGGGGAACUCUAAGCAACUAAGUAUGACCAUCAUCUCCGCCAUCCACGUCCUCAUAAUCGUCAACCUUAGACUCAUAAUCCCAGUACUCACGCAUCCAUCGAAUACUGUGCUGAACCAGGGCAAUAGCCCCCCGCAAUGUAGCAAACUCCGCAGUAUGACGCUCGGAAGCAGCUCGUAACUGAGUAAUGUCGGCCAUCAUGCAGGCCUAUUGCUCAAUGAGAAUCGACAUUUGAUCCAUAAGCGCGACAGUGGGGUCAAUAGAAGCAGUAGCCGGAGCAGGCGAGGCGGGUGGUGGAACAGAAGUGGAAGAAGAGGGAAUAUCGGAAGUGGAUGGAGGAACAUCUGAAGAAGGUGGAGGAAUAGUGAAGAGACUUGAGAGUAAAUCACCUAAAGGAUCAGCGGGCACUGUCGAAUCGACAGGCUCAGCUGGCUCAGCAGGAGCAGAUGCAGAUGCAGAAGCGAAAAGCUGACAUGUAACCUAUUCUGAGAGAUGGUAGUGUGCCCUAUGGGACGAAGAGCUCGCCGUGACACCCCAUCGGGAAAUAAAACCCCAAGUGAUGUCACUAAGCGAUAGAUCAAGCAAGCAUAGAGAAGACCAAUCCAAUGACUGGGAAACCGAAAAGUGUGCAAAAUAUGCUGGCAAAUGAAAGUGGAUAGGUUAAUCAAAUCCCUAUAUAGCAGAGCAUAGAGAAAUCUUACCUUUUCCAUAGGCAGGGAAGAAGUGUGAGAGACCGACCACAGAUUUGUACACACAAUGUGCAACAAAAUCUGUCGAUCAGUGGGGAGCAAACCAGUGCGGAUCGCCUUAGGCCCACCUCCCAAUGGACUAUUAAACAGAGUGGACCGAACAAGAGAGUCAGCCGAAAUAUAAUCAGCUGAGAGAUAUGGGUAAACAGGGUGAAUGACCCGGGGAACAUGUAUGGAACUGGAAAUAACAUCUGGUGAAAUCCUAAGUAUCUGAUCCCGAAGGAACACCCUAAAGGACAACUCACUAAUGUCCUAAAUGUUCGUAUAGAACUCCUAAACAAGGAGACUAGGUGGGGGAUUUAAACCUAUCAGUAAAGAUUCCUAACCUCAUGAGGUGAGAAUGGCAGCUAAAUCAGGUGGUAAGUCAGAUAGGGUGACCUCACGCUCAACUAAGAUAGGACGCAGUGAAAACUGACUCCCAAACACUUCCUGUGCAGUAGAAGAAAUAAACUUUGACCUACUAAACGAUGUUGAACCACUAGCUGGUAAAGCUGUAGUGUGAGCCCUCUUAGGUACCAUAUGAAAAAAGGAUAUGUGGAAUGGACUUCAAGACCCAUAGAUUGCCAAGAAAUGGGAAUGCAUGAACGUUCGUGAUCCAAUGCUCAAACAUAUACAGGCACAUAGACUGAUGCAAGGGAAUGCAAUAGUAGCAAGCAUAUAAGACCAACUAAACACAUGACACAGUAGCUAUAAGACAAUAUAUAAAUGUAGGUGACGUGACCUAGACGUAAGGAGUAACGGUCACAGGACGAAGGGGAACACACUGCAGGGCAUGAAACCAAGAACAGAAACAAUAUAGCAGUGACAUGAGAACACCAAAAUGGCCAAAACAUCACUUACAUAUGCAACCAAUACCACAUAGUCACGCACAACGUGGUUGAAGCAAAACAUUGAACACAUGAUGGGCAUGAAGAAUGCAUAUAAGUUUUGCUCCAAUUCAAGUCAAUUAAAAAACACAACGAGCAUUCCCAACCAACCUAACGACCGAGCAUCUAGAAAAAUUCCCAACCACGUGCAGCAAUAAUCACAAUGAACGGCGCACAAAUAAGGCAGUCAAUGAGCAUAAAAAAAUGAAGUUCAAAUGCGCAAAUCAAGCUUAAAGCAAGGAAGUCACAAUCCACACUCCAACAUGCACAAAGAAUGAAGUAAUUGAUGCAAAACGAAACUUAAAAUUCAAAAUCCCCAAAUUGAACUGAAACUAGGGCACGAGAGGCUCUUACCCGAGAUUGGCACGAAGUAAAACCUACACCAAGGUAAUGGAAUGAGAACCCACACACAGGUAAUGAGGAGCAAAACCACCAAGAACGCCAUUAGUGAGGGGAAAUUUGAGAAAGGAAUGGAAGAAAUUUAAAAAAAAAAUGAAGUUUAACCCAAUCGCGAGAAAACAAAAAAGCUCACUGUCGCUCGAGCGACAAGCAAUCUGCUUCUAUCGCUCAAGCGAGCUGCUAGCGGCAAGCGAGCGACGGGUAAAUUGUCAAAAAUAGCACCAAGUUUUGAAAAUUGAAAAAUCCAGCACCAUGUUUGGAACUUUGAAAUGUAGCACCACUUUAGAAACUUUCAAAAUUAGCACCAUUUAUAGAAAUUUGAAUUUUGACCCCAAUUUUUUUUUAUUUAAUAGGAAAUAUACACAUGUAGUAAGUCCAAUCAAAAUGCAGUAGAUCACAAAUACGGCAUGCUCUAUGAUUAGAAAAUGUUUCUCCACACACCGGAACUAAGUACAGAUGGAGUAAAUUGCAUAUAUGACCCCAUGUGAAACGUGCCAAUCAUUCCAUGCAAGUAAGACUCAAAAACUUAAAUUUGUGAGAAGAAACAACCAAAUCAUCGAUGUGUGAGUCAACAUCCAUAUGUUUGAAGGUCAAAUCCAAUACCACUAGGACCUAUAAUUCACUGAAAUAUGGUGUAAAAUUGUUUUUUCUCCCCUUGUCAUCAAGGACCUUCAAAAUUUUUUUAUUUUUGUUAAAAUCUUUUGUGCAAUCUCAUCUCCAUUAAGCUAUUAAGAAGACCUCUGUAAGAGCGUUGGGUCGGUGACUCCCAAACCAGUUAGCUUUAGGGCACCAGGUUAUGAAAAAUCCCUCAGACUGAAUUGCUCAAGUCAAUAGGCUUCAAAGAUAGGUAUAAGACGUAAUACAAUAAAUAAUAUUCUUUUGGAUCACUUGGGGGUACACCAGCAAUUAGGUUAUCUAGUCGAAAAUCAAUUCAAACCCAAUGUCAACUCAACGACAAAUGAUAGUCAUCCUAAGUCUCACACUGCGGUCAAGACUCACUCACACGGUCCUGGUUUUUGCUGUGCAGAUAGAAUAUGAAGUGACAUAUACUAAGUACUCCACACAGACUCAAUAUAAGUGAUGGGAAUUAGAAACUAAUCAUGUAUGGAAUGCAUCUUUGAUCCCAAAUUGCAAGUCCAAGUUAAUAUAUAUAUAAUUUUUUUUUAAAAGCCAAAAUGAAAGACAAAUGCAAGUAAAAACAAUCAAGCAAUGCCAUGAAUGCAGAAAUGAAUUAUUGAAAUAAACUAAACAUGCAUGCAUCUAUGAAGACGAUCAAUGAAGAACACAGAUGCCAACAGCCUUCCUAAGUGACUCGAACCUCAACUCAGCUAGAGGUUUAGUGAACAGAUCGACAAGUUGAUUUUCAGUAGAGAUAUGUUCAAGUGACACCACAUUGGACUCAACUAGCUCUCGAAUAAAGUGAUGACGAAUGUCAAUAUGUUUGGUCCUAGAAUGCUAAACAGGAUUUUUUGAUAUGUUGAUAGCACUGAUAUUAUCACAGAAAACAGUCAUAGUACCCUAAUUUAUCCCAUUAUCACUCAGCAUUUGCUUCAUCCAAAGCAGUUGAGUGCAAUAGCUACCAGCUGCAAUGUAUUCUGCCUGGGCUAUGGACAAUGAGACUGAGUUUUGUCUCUUACUCAUCCAUGAGACAAGAUUAGAACCAACAUAGAAACAUCUAUUGGAGGUACUCUUUCUAUCGUCGGCAUUUCCGGCCCAAUCAACAUCAAAUUCUUGUUUCAUGCAUUCAGCGAAUUCAAGAGCAAGGGAGUCAAUGGGAGAGCCAAAGAUGAUGUCAUCGACAUAGAUAUAUGCUACAAUUAUAGUUUCUUCAAUAUAUCUAAUGAAUAAGGUUUUGUCAGCACCACCUCGUGAAAACCCAUGCUCAACUAGGUAAGUGGUAAGUCUGUCAUAUAUAGUGCUUUAUUGAGUUUGUAGACAUAAUGAGGAAACUUAGGGUUAAUGAAUCCUUUUGGCUAUUCAAUAUACACCUCUUCUUGCAGUAUUCCAUUUAAGAAUGCACUCUUAACAUCCAUUUGAUAUAACUUGAACCCAAGGUACAAGCAACCACAAGAAGAAUGCGAAUGGACUCAAGACGAGCAACAGGGGCAAAUGUCUCAUCAAAAUCUACCCCUUCAACCUGAGUGUACUCCUGGGCAACUAGUCUAGCCAUAUUUCUAGUUAUGGUACCUUGGUCAUCAAUUUUGUUCUUGAAAAUCCACUUAGUACCUAUCACAUUACAAUCAUCAGGCCUAGGAACUAGAUACCAAACAUUAUUUCAAACAAAUUGAUUAAGCUCCUCAUGUAUGGCAUUCACCCAACAUUCAUCUCUAAGGGCUUCCUCUACUUUCUUAGGUUCAAUCUGGGAUACAUAGCUAGUAUAUGUUAGAUUAUUUAGAACUCUCUUUCGUAACCUCAUACCUUCAUCUAAGUCCCUAAUGAUGUUAACCUUAGGAUGAUUAGAUUUGACCUUGGAAGAUGGUUCUCUAGGAAGCUUAGAUUAAUCACAAUUUGGUAGACCCGAUCAGAGAUGUCUACACCUUUAGAGGAGCGUAGAGAUUUUGAAAUUGAUUGCUCUUUAUUUUUAGCAGUGGCUACUUGAUCAUCGCUUAGAUCUUAUAUAUCUAGCCCAUUUUCAGCACUCUUUCCCUUAGUGAAGGCAUCAUCAACAACAACAUUUACAGAUUCCAUGACACUCUGAGUACGCAAGUUAUAAACUCGGUAGGCUCUACUGUUCUUAGAAUAUCCUAGAAAAACCCCAUCAUCACUUUUGGAAUCAAACUUGUCUAGAUUUUCUCUAUCCCUCAGAAUGUAACACUUGCUGCCAAACACACGAAAGUAUUUAACAGUAGGUUUCUUGCCCUUCCAGAUCUCAUAGGGAGUCUUGUCUAUUUUCAGUCUAAGGUAUACCCUAUUUACUAUGUGGCAAGCAGUGUUAAUGGCUUUACCCCAGAAAUGCAUUGCUAGAUCCUUGUCGUGAAGCAUGGCCCUAGCCAUUUCUUGAAGCACUCUAUUCUUUCUCUUAACAACUCCAUUUUGCUGUAGAGUGAUUGGUGAGGAGAACUCAUACUUAAUCCCCUCCUCCAAACAGAAGUUUUCAAGAUUGAAGUUUUCAAAUUCUUUCCCAUGAUCACUUCGAAGCCUAGAAAUGGAAAGAUUUUGUUCAAUUUUGAGUCUUUUACAUAAAGACUUAAUCAGAUCACCCGUCUCAAAUUUUUCUCUUAACAGUUCAAUCCAGGUGUAUCUGGAAAAGUCAUCUACCACAAUCAGAAUAUACCGUUUGCCUCCUAGGCUCUCCACUCUAGAUGGUCCUAUUAAAUCCCUAUAGAGAAGCUCUAAGGAUCUAUUUGUCAAGAUUUUCAAGGUUUGCUUAUGGUUUAUCCUGAGUUGCUUUCCUUGUUGACACGACUUGCACACAGUAUUUUCACUUUGAUUAAUUUUAGGUAGACCAUCGACAAUCAUUUUUGACCAAUUUGGAGAGACUUCUGUAAUUAACAUGACCAAUCCUUUGAUGCCAAAGUUCUGACAUAUCAAUUUUAGCACUACUGCACACAUAGUUUGAGUUUGGGAGAACUCUAUAACAGUUAUCACAUGUUUUAACACCUUCAAGAACAACACCACUUGAAGGGUCAUAAACAGUGCAUCUCUUUUGGACAAAACUUACUUCAUAGUCAACAUAAUAGAUUUGACUAAUGCUCAACAAGUUGGACUUAAUACUCUCUACAUAAAGCACAUUAGAUAUUGUAGAAAGUCCAGAAAUGGUGAUGAAGCCUUUACCUUGGAUGGGUACCGUAGCUCCGUCCCCAAAGGUAACUACACCACCGUUGUAGUCAUCAAUGGUAGAGAAUAAGGCCUUGUUACCACACAUGUGUCUAGAACAAGCACUAUCAAGAUACCACAUGCAAAUAUUUUGAGCCUUAUACGCUACAUGAGCAACAAAACAUUUUAGAUUCUCACCAUACUCACCCACAUUAGAUUUCUUUACCCAAACUUUUCUAGAGGUCGAGGUGAUCCUAUUCAACCUUGUUACCAUCUCAGUUAAGUGACUAACCUGAUUUGAAAGGAAGUUUACAUGACUAGGGAUAUCCUGACUUCUAUUCCUAUUUGCUAGCUUUCGACACCUAGGUCUCGUGUAAACUAAAGCACCGCAGUGAUGACAAGUGGGUAUGACCCUAGGUUCAGAUGCACGUGAGUGUUGAUCCUGAAAUUUAGGUGUAGAAAUCUUAGUGGCUCUAGUGGCCUUCAGUUCAGUGACAUUCUUGCCUUUGGAUUCUGGAUUGGUUGAAAUAUUAGACCUGUUCCGGGGACAAAUGUGGUCUUGGACGAACUAGACACAUUACCAUCACUCUUCACAAAUCAUAGACCUUGUCUAUUUCCAGUUGGUUUGUUCAUUCAUAAUAGAUCAUCUAGUUUCUUUGUUCCACUCAUAAACGACUACAGUUGAGUACUGGAUUUCUCUAACUCAUAAGUCAGUGUCUUAACCCUAUCCUCUAAUUUCUCAUUGACACACUUCAACUCACUGAGAUUUUUAGAUGAGACUUGAAGAUCAUUAGUGAUUUUCUCCUUCUCUCUCUCAAGCUCAUCUACUUUCUUAAAUAGGGCUUUAUUUACCUUUUUGAUCUUGAGACUUUCCUUAAACAGAAGUUGAUAAGCUUCAUGUAUAUCCGUCUCAUCCUUAGAAUCAUCACGGGACUUGUUAUUCUCAACCUCCUUCUCAACGUUCUCACUCUCCUUAUCUGACUCACUCUUAACAGUAGAUACAAAAUCUAUAUAGCCCUUUUCCUCUUCACUGCUUGAGGAACCACUUUGAUCACUUGAGUUAGAAUCAUCAUCAGUCAAGGACACAGCUAAUGCCUUGCUCCUUCCAUUCUUUAGAUUUUUCUUAAAGCUAGGACAUUCAUUCCUAUAGUGCCCAAAUCCUUGACACUCAUGACACCUAACCACUUGAGAUUUCUUACCAGGGUUCCUAGCAAUUGAUUUAUCAUUCGUCUCUCUUAGGAAUUUGCUAGGGGCUCCUCUCCUUUUGUCUUAGGGCCAUUCCUUGGCCUUUAAGACUUUCUGGAAUUUUUUUACAAAGUAGGCAAUCUCUUCAUCUCUAAGAGUUUCUAUGUUAGAUGACUCAGACUCCUCUUCCCUAACGGUGUUCAAGGCUAUGGACUUGUUUUUCCUCAGUUGUGAAAUGGUGAGUUCAUAGGUUUGAAGGGGUCCUAUGAGUUCUUCUAUCUUAACUGUGUCUAGGUCCUUGCUUUCUUCAAUAACUGUAACUUUAGGUCUAAGUCUCUUGGGUAAGGACCUAAGAACCUUCCUUAUGAUUUUGGACUCGGGAAUUCUCUCACCUAGGUUGAAAUAGAGUUAACAAUGUCAUUCAAUUUGACAUAGAACUCAUCAAAACACUUAUCAUCCUUCAUCCUAAUUUCUUCGAACCUUGAGGUCAAUAUUUGCAACUUAGAAUUUUUCACAGUUUUAGUUCCAUCAUGCGUUGUCUCUAGAAUGUCCCAUACCUCUUUAGCAGUUUCACACAUUGACACUCUCCUAAACUCUUCAGGAGACACAUACAUAAAUAAUGCAUGGAGACAUUUACUAUUCCAGUUGCAAUCACCCAAUUUAUCCUUAGUCCAAAGGGAAAUGUCAGUUGGGGUUACAACACUAGAAACAAUUGUGGAAGGAGGUUUCCAACCAUUUUGUAUACUCACCUAGACACGUUCAUUUAGGGACUUAAGAAAAGCACGCAUUCUAACCUUCCAAUAGGUAUAGUUGCUUCCAUUAAAAUACGGAGGCACAGAUAGUGAUUGACUCAUCUAGACAACUAUGGGUCAGGACUCGAGAUUUGACUCUGAUACCACUUGAAAUAUCGUAGUUCGACCCAAUCAAUGCCUAGACUAGGGGGUAAAUAUGUGUUUAUGUGGAAUUUUCUUUUUUAAUCAAUCAAUAAUUGCAACACGUCACAAAUAUUAAUUUGUCCAUAUCAGUUCACAUGCUUUACUAUCCUAUGUUUGAAUACCGGUAAUAAAUUAAUAGUAGAAAAGUAAAAACACAAUUGUUUGUUGAUGGAGAAACCCCAAGAUGGGUAAAACUCCGAGCCCAAGCCAGUAGAAAUCCACUAUAAACGAAAAUACAACUUACAAUCUGUCAAACUCAACCCACACUAAUUUUUCUGACCUCUUGACUGUAAUUUCCUAAAAGCCUUCCUGGAAUGCGUGAUCGUGCACUAACUUUUGGCUCCUAGCUCUCUUGGAUUACAUGCUACACCAAUUCCCGGCUCUUGAUUUCGUCUAUCUCCUGUGGAUUCAAGAGAACCGCUUGUUCUCUAAUGAUCAGGACUCCGAUCUCCUUCCUCGAUCUCCAAGAAUCAACAAAAGCACUAGAAGGUUGUGUUGUGGUGUUUGAUGAAUGUAGAUUUGAUGUUUUUAGGUAAUUGUCCAAAUCAAAUAUGGGAUUAAAUGAAUGAAUCAAGUGUAGAGAGUUUUUCUUUAAUUUCAAUCCUUAAGAGAGACAUAUGAAAAUUGACGUAAUUUAAUUUAUAUGAAGUGUAUUGGGACAUUUGGGUCGGGUCAAAAUGUCGAAAAAAGAAAAAUAGGGUUUUUUAGGUAACACCAUCGCUCGAGCGAAAAGCAAGCGACACUAUUUUCGCUCGAGCGAAGUGGGGGCGAGAAGGGAGCAACGACCUUUCUGUUUUUGUCGCUCGAGUGACUACUUGGCGAGCAGCUAGCGAAACUUCAACGACACAUUUUGCCCUACUUCAUAGCUCAAACCCUAACAUACUUUGACAAAAUUACAACUUAGUCCCUCAUCUUUUACACAUGUACAAAUUUACCCCUAACCUUUAAACAUUGACAAAUUGACCCCCAAACUUUUGAACAUUUACAAUUUUACCCUUUUGUUCACAGAAUAGCCAACACAAAAUCUAUCAAUUAGCGUUAGUAUUACUUCUCAAUCUAGCUAGCAUAUUUAUGAUAAUUUGUUUCAAUUUCUAUAUUUCCUAUAUUACGUGCUUUUAUAAUUGGUAUUUGAGUUGUUGAUUUCAAAAAACAGGUUUAACCAGGAACGCAAGAAACUGACAUUCAGCUUGGGUUUAGGUAAAAUAGUUUUAUUUUCACUUCUUUUACUUGUAUUGUAUAGUUUUGUCGCAUAAUGCCAAAGGAGGAGUUUGUGAGAUUUUUAUUGUAUUGGCAAUAAUUGAUAUUUUUUCUUUCCAAACCUACUUGUCUAAUUAUCGGUAGCAAGUGAUAUUUCAACAAACCUCUUGGCUGUAAAUGCAGUUUCCCUAUGUCUGAUUGAGAUAAGGAAGUUCAAAGACAUAUAUAUAUGAUCAAGAUUGGGGGGAGGAACCAUAUCUGAAAAUGUUGGUGAUUCUGGUUGAUCAUCAUCUUUUUCAUAUUCAUUUUGAUAAUGAGGUUUUGGAAUAAUAGGAGUAAAAUAUGCUCUUUUGUAUGAAGAUUGAAAGGAUGAUCUGGGUUUUUCUUCAGAUCUAGUUGAAAAAGACUUAGCAGAAUAAGAUCUUUGAAUCCUUGAAGAUGAUCUUUUGAAAAGAAUCUUAGCUUUUCCAUCUAGAAAAGUAAGAAUUUGAUUUGGAGUUGUUCUAGUUUGAGCAGGAACAGGUGUUUGAACAUUAUCAAAAUUUCAUUCGAGUCCACGGGAUUGAAGUUUCCAUGGAAUUCUUUUUGGAAUUUUGACAUUUGAGUGAAAAUGAUUGACUUCAACUAAAAGAAUUUCAUCUCUUGGUGAAGAAUGAAGAACUCCAAUAUUGAGUUGAGUAUUCAUAAACUUAUAAUAUACUCUGUAUAUUACAGCAAAAGCAUUUGACCUACUAUCAAAUUCAAGAUUUUUUGUUUGAAUAUGAAGAUUGAGAGAAUUGAGAAUUGCUCUAUCAGUAAGUUUGAUAGAAAAGCUUGGAUAACAGUUUGAAAAUACUGGACCACUUUCUAGAUUUGAUUCUAGAAGUGAAAGUAAUGAAUUUUCAAAAUUGAGAUGUCUCUUAUUUCUAAGAGUAAGUAAAAUUGGAACAUCAAGACCAAGUUUAAACAAGGGCUUGACUGCUAUUUGACCUAAUCCAACAUGAAGAUAUUUAAAUUUUUUCCAGUCGGAUUCAAUAGCUUCUUUUGUAAGCAAAUUAACGAAAGAAUUUUGACUAUUAGUUGAAAUAGUUUGUUCAAUAGUUUUGAUAGCAUAAUUUUGGGAAAAAUCAAAUUUUCCUAUUUCAUAGAUGGUAUGUUUAUCUAACUUUGGAAUAGUCCAAUUUUGAAGACGUUCAAUUUGUGCAAUUUGAAGUUCAUGAGAAUUGAAAUCAUUUGAUGCAAAUGAUGCAGAUGCACGAUCAAUUUCUUCUUCUAUUUGAAAAAUAUUUGUUCUAUUCUCAUUUGAUUGAUUUUCACGUCUAUUUCUAGACCUCGAUCUCCUUAACCAAUUAGUAACUCAAGACAUAAUUGAAUAAAAAUGAAAUUACUAUAAAACAAAGUAAAAACAAAAUAAUAGGAUUAACAAAUUCUCACCAAGCCUACAAUGGGACCACCCUUCAAUGCCUACACUGGCAACACGGGCUGACCAAUGCUUAAUAGCAAACGUCCAGGUUUGAACAAGAUUUUCCUAAAUAUCUUGUGCUUAUAGUGUUUGAUACCAAAAUAGCCCAGGGGAAAGAAGAAACAGAAAUAGUGAGAAAGAGAUCAAAUUGAGAAAUGUUUAUUGAAAAUUGUAGAAUUGAAAUACAAUUUUGUAAGUUUAGAGAACAAAAAUAACAAAGAAAAUAAACUUCUAUUGCCAAAUUCGCUCUGCCUUGAAAUGAACUCUUGAAGUUUUCUUUUACUUGAAAUCCGAACUUGAAAUUUCUUUCAUUUGCCAAAAACAAUCUUGAAUAGUUGAGUGGGAGACAAAAUAAUGAAGAAUCUUGAAAUAUGAUACUAGCUUUUGAAUAAUUGAGCCAUCUUUUGAAAAACUUUACAAAGAAAGAUUCCUUCUAUAAUAAAGUUGUCUUUUUCUUGGAAUGGAUGGCAAUCUGUUGAAAAAAACCUGAUUAGUUGGCAUGCAUAAUUUGAAAAGAUUUUCCCUUCAUUUAUUGAUCCGGUAAUUUCUCAAUUCUUCGAGAAAAUCGGGUUCUUGUAGUCAUAUGAUCCUCUUUUCUUGAGCAAGAAAUUAAUCAUAACCUAAAUCAAUUAGGUCAUCACCAUUGUCUGUCUCUUGAGAUUUUUGAUCAGAUUCUUGAAUACUUGAUUUUUAGAAAUUUGUUCAUAAAUUUCUAAUAAUUCUUUUGGAUCUUUGCAUUUUAAUAACAUUAAAAUAGUCCUUUGUUUUUCAAUCAGAAAAUAUGCCUGAUCAUCUUGUUCUUUCGUUGAGAAUUUUGGGACACCCAAAUUUCUUUGUUCUUGAAUCUAUGAUUGAACUGCUUUUGGACAACAAUUUGUUUCUUUGUAUUUAGACCACCAUUUGACUUUGAAUCUUCUGGUAAUCUUUUGAGUGAAGUAUUCAUCAUUUUGAUUCUGCAGUAGAAAGAAAUCCCAGCAAAAAAUCCAGGAAACUUUCAUAUUGAAGGCAAAGUGGAACAAAACAUUUUCUUGAGGCUUUAAAAAUAUUUUAGCCUCUCUUUUGAAGUAUUCAUAUCCUUGAAGAGUAAGACUGAGUAAAAAUUUUUCUUCAAGUCCAUGAUACAAAAAUCAUGUUUGAAACCAUUUUGGAAAAUGAGGAUGACAAUUUUGAUUAAAAAUAAUGAACCAUGAAUGGGUAAUAGGUCUAAAGAAAAAGACUAUGUACCAGGCAUUGAUAUAAUUAAAAUAAUUGAAAUAUUUUAAAAGUUGUAAAAUAUGUUGAAGAGAGCUUAAGUCUCUUUUUUCCCAUGGGUUUUGUCCCCAGUCUUCGUAAGACAAUACCCUAAGAAUACUGAUUUUUGAAAACAUCGUUUCUUCUUUAUUUUGAGGAUCUGGAGUAUGAGAAAUUAUGGCUGAUCUUGUUUUCAAAAGGAUAGUCUCAUAAUAAUCUUGGGAUUUUUUGAAAUUUGAUGGCAUGAACCAAAAAUUGGUUGGAAAAAUGUUUGGAAGACAUUCGUCCAAAUUUUUGUAUCUAUGAAGCCAAUAUGUUUCCAUAUCAAGGGAAUUUUCAAAGAUACUUUUGGUAAAAUAUUGAAAAUUUUGAGAAGGGUUUAUUUGAGGAAGUUUUCCAGAGCUUUGGACGACUUUUUGUAGUUUGAAGGGGUAGCUUUAUUUUGAUUGGGUUUUUUGAUAAGAGUCGAAAGGGUAUUUGAGGAGGAAGAAGCUUCUUGAGCUUCAUUUGGAGAAUGAUCUUUUGAGAGAUCAUUAAUUGAGAAAAAAGGAGUAGAAUUUUUCUUUCUACUUUGUUUCUUUUGAAACGGAUUUUGAUCUUCUUCUUCAACUUGUUUCACACAACUCAUUUUCAUUUUUUUUGUGAAUGAACUCUCUUGUGAGGAAGUCUGCUAAGAAGUUUGAUUUCCCUUGUAUAUAUAAAAUUUCGAAAUCAAAACAGGACAAAAUAGCCUGCCAUCUUACAAAGAUUUGUUUAGAAACAAGAUUUUUCACAUCUUUUUGUAAAACAUCUUUUGAGGCUUUAGAAUCUGUUUUCAAAAUAAAUUUUUUAUUGAUAAGAUCGUCUUGAAAUUUUGAAAUACACAGUACUAUUGAAAGAAUUUCCUUUUUGAUAGUGGAGUAAUUCUUUUGAGGACCGGUCCACAUCCACUGUGAUACCUAACUAACUGUUCUUGAGAUGACCCUAGUGGGAUUUGCUUUAACAUGCCACCAUACCCAAUAUCUGAGGCAUCAGUCUCAAUAAUAAUUGAAGCUGUGGCGUCAAGUAUUGAAAGAUAUGGAAUAUUUUUAAUUGCUUUUUUGACUCUUUGAACUGCAACUGUGUGCUCGUAACUCUAUGGGUCAGGGUUGUUUUGUAGUCUUUUGAAUAAUGGGGCACAGAUUUGACGUAUACUUUUGACAUAAUUGACACAAUCUAAAAAGCGUUGCAAACUUGUUUUAUCUAUGAUUUCAUCUGAAAAUUUGUUAAUGAAAUCAAAACUUCUUUGAAUAGGAGUUAAAGUGUCAUUAUGAAUAUAAUGACCAAGAAAACGUAUUUUUGUUUGAAAUAAAACAAUCUUCUUAGCAGAAAACUGCUAAACCAUUUUUCUUAGUAACAGAAUGAAUGUAUGAAUAUGUUUAGAAUGUUGUUCUAUAUUUUCACAAAAUAUAAGAACAUGAUCAAUGUAAACAAUAAUGAAUUUUGAAAAAGGAUUGAAAAUAUCAUUCAUAAUUUUUUGAAAUUCAAAGAGAGCAUUUUUUAGACUGAAUGGCAUAACAUUCUAUUCAUAUUGUCCAAAAGGAACAUUGAAGGCAGUCUUGUAUCUGUCUUCUUCUUUAAUUUGAAUUUGCCAGAAACCUGACUUAAUAUCAAAUUUUGAAAAGAUGACAGCUUUACAAAAACGAUUCAAAAGAUCUUUCUUUUGAGGAAUAUGAUAUCUAAUCAUUGAAGAGCAGUAUUGAGGGGUUUAUAAUUAAUAACCAAACGAGGAACUCUACGUUCAAUUUCAGUAGAAUUAUUGAUGUAAAAAGCUGAACAGCUCCAAGGAGAUUUACUUGGUCGGAUUAAACCUUUCUCAAGUACAUCAUUUAUUUCUUUAAUACAAAAAUCAAGUAACUCUUUAUUCAUUUGAAUAGGACUUGAUUUUGUAGGAAUAUUUGAUUCAUGAAAAUCAGAAUUGUAAGGAAGAGAAGCAUGUUUCUUUCUAUCCCAGAAGGCAUUUGGAAUGGUUGAACAAAUUUCUUUUUCAAUUCUAUUUUUUAAUUCUGAAUUUUUUGCUUGAAGAAUAGACUCUUGCAAUCUGUUCUCCAUUUUUUGAAAUUGAAUUUCUUUUUUAAGAAAUUGAAUAUGAUUUCUUUUUAAAUUAAUAUUGUUGAUACUUUUUGAAAUAGCAGCCUCUUUUAAAGAAUUAAUAUCUUUAUAAGAAUGAGGAUUUGUAAAUUCAAAAAAUAUUUUUUGAUAAAAAACUUUUGUAGUUAAUCCUUUAUAAUUAGCUUUGAAAGGAUAAAUUUGAACAAUAAAAGGUGUACCAAGAAUAGAUUCUCGAUCCAAAUCCUUUACAAAAUAAAAAAUAGUUUUGAAACAAAUAUUUGAAUUACAAACAUGAGAUUUUGAAAUUUUAUAAUUGAUAUUAAGCUUUUUUUCACUAGCUUCAUAAAGACGCUUAGUGGUUUUUUCAAAGUAUUUUGUAGGAAACAAGUCUUCUUUGAUACAAUUUUGAUCUGCACCUGAAUCAAUAAGAACCUGUGUUGUAAAUUUGAAUUCUUUAUUUACAACAAUGGUCAUAUUGUAAUACCAUUUUUAAAGUUAAAUUUGGUUAAUAACGUUAACCUUUUCUUCUUCAGAUUUGAGAAGUUUGAAAUCAGAAUCUAAUGAACAAUCAGGUGAAAAUUUAGAAUGUUUUGAGGAAACUUUCAAUUUUCCUUUGAAUUUUGAAUAAAAUUCAUCAUUUAAGUUUUUUGCUUUCAUACAAACGACUUCCAUAUGAAUUUCUUUGACUUGAUUUUCAAGGUCUGAGAUUUUAGUUUUCAUACUCUUAAUCUCUUAUUGAAGAUCAGGAAUAGAAGGUUUAGAACCUUUAGAAAAUUCUUUUUGAGGUCGUUUGAGAAUUUGAUUGAUAUUGAUAUCAUCGAAAUCUUGUUUUGAAGUAGAAGGUAAAAGAGAGAAGAGUUUUUUCUUGAGAUUAGGAUUAUCAAUCCUAUCAAUGAUAUCUUGAAUAACUUCUUCUUCUCUAGAUAAAAUAUUUAUAGUUUUACAACCACAAAUUUCUUUUUCUGAGUUUGAAGAAAUAUCAGAUGAAUGAGGAAGAGGAGAAGAUUCAUAAUCAGAAUCUUCUUGAUUAAGAAAAACUUGUUCUAAUUCUGAGUUAGACUCAUUAUCAGAACUUGAUUCAAUAAGAUUGAGAAGUUGAGUUUUAGUAUCUUCAUCAAUUUGAAGAUUACUAAUCUUGGUUUUGAGUGGACAUUUAUUGGAAUAAUGACCAGUCUUAUUGCACUUCUAGUAAGUAAUAUUUGAAGAAUUUUUUGAAUUUUUCUUUUUUGAAAAAGGUUUUCUUUUGUUAGAAAAUUCUUCUGGAUAUUUUUUAAAAUAUUUUCUUUUAGAAAAUUUUCUAUUUUUAGAAAAAAAAUUUGAUUUUGAAGAUGGAGGAAUGAUCUUUUCAUAACCAUAUUGUUCACAAAAAUAUCCAAGUUCUUUUUGACUCUUAGACUUUUCUGCUUUCAAUUUGGCUUUGAGUUUUAAAUCAUUACACAAAUUUAAAGCUUCUUUAUUGAUAAAAUUAAUAAUUUCUCCAUAGGUAAGUGUUUGAAGGUCAUCAAAUUCUUGAAAAAUAGAAUUUUUUUACUCUUUCUGCAAAGAGUUAUGGAAGUCCAGAAAUGAAUUUUUCUUUCCAAAAAGAUUGUUGCCAAUCUUCUCUUAUCAUGAUACGAGAUAAAAACAUAUCUUUGUACCAUCGAAAAUCUUGUAGUUUUGGACAUCUUAAAUUUAUCAAAAUGUCAUUUUGCAUUUGAACAAUAUUUUCUGAAGUACCAAUAAAAAGUUUGAUAAUAGUUAAACCAAGAACGGUAAAACUAUCACUAAUCUCAUUUCCAUUUGUAUCAUUAUUUUCAUCACGUUUGACAGCAGAAAAGAUAAUAUCCUUCUCAGUUUGAGAAAGAUAAUUAUCCCACCAUUGACCAAGUUGUCUAGUGAAUCCAAGAACAAUAUUAUUAGUAGCAUCUCUUCUUGAAGUACCUUUUGUAAGAUAAAUUUUGUAACACAUGGUCAUUUGUCCCAUAAAAUUGAUAAUUUGAUAUUCAGUAAGUCCAUCGAGAUUCCACUCGACACUGAAAUUACCGCCAUAAGUUCUUUGAGGAUUAUCUUUUUCUUCAAAAAGCUGAUCAAGGAAUGAAGGACGAGGAUAAUAUUUUGGAAGAUUUUGAUAGUUAAAUUUUCUCAAUUUAUUAAUUGAAUCAUAUUUUUCAUCAAUAAAUUGAGCUUCAAUUUCAUCAAUGGUAUUGAUGUUUUUUGAAACAUGAAAUUUUUUUAAUUGAGUGGCAAGUUCAGAAAGAAUUUCACUUUCAGUUUGAAGAGUAGAAGAUUUUCCAAAUUAAGGAAUCAAAUCAUUACUUUUGAAAAUUGAAGAGGAAGAGGAUGAUGGUUUUGAUAAAUUCUUAUCUUUACUACUACUUUCUCUAAAUUCUUUAGAAGAAUCUUUUUGAGAAGUAAUAUUCUCAGAUUCAGAAUUUGAUUCGAUACAAUUGAGCUGAGAAAACAUAGAUUGAAGAACAAUAUUAGUAUAAUUGUUCUGAGAUUUGAUAUUUUUGAUAUCCUUAUCAACAACCUAAGAUUCAUCAUAUCGUUCUUUAGGAAUCCUCUUGAGGGGAGAUGCAAUGAUUUCAGUUUUUCCAUGAGGAAUAACUAUUUCUUGCAUAGGAGGACGAGUUGAUUGGAAAGUAUUUCCUUCUGGAGUUUUCCAAGUAUUGACACGAGUUUUUGAAGUAAAAAUUUUUAUUUUUUCUGGCCUUUUACCAAAAACUUUGAAUUGAAUCUAGUCAUAGAAACUUAAAUCAGUAGAAGAUUUGAAAUAAGAUUCUUUUUGUUUUUUUUCUCUGAAAAGUUUUCUAAGAUUUUUGAUACAAAUAACUGAUCAUUUUUGAAUUCUUUUCUUCUAUCAAUUUCAGAAGAAAUAACAUUACAUUAAUGUUCAAGAUUGGAGGAAGGAACCAUAUUUGAAAAAGUUGGUGAUUUUGGUUGAUCAUCCUUUUUUUUAUAUUUAUUUUGAUAAUGAGAUUUUGAAAUAACAGGAGUAAAAUCUGCUCAUUUGUAUGAAGAAUGAAAGGAUGAUCUGGGUUUUUCUUCAGAUCUAGUUGAGAAAAGACUUAGCAGAAUAAGAUCUUUGAAUCCUUGAAGAUGAUCCUUUGAAAAAGAAUCUUAGCUUUUCCAUCUGGAAAAGUAAGAAUUUGAUUUAGAGUUGUUCUAGUUUGAGCAAGAACAGGUGCUUGAACAUUAUCAAAAUUCCAUUCGAGUCCAUGGGAUUGAAGAUUCCAUGGAAUUCUUUUUGGAAUUUCGACAUUUGAGUGAAAAGGAUUGACUUCAACUAAAAGACUUUCAUCUCUUGGUGAAGAAUGAAGAGCUCCAAUAUUAAGUUGAGUUCAUAAGCUUAUAAUAUACUCUGUAUAUUACAGCAAAAGCAUUUGACCUACUAUCAAAUUCAAGAUUUUUUGUUUGAAUAUGAAGAUUGAGAGAAUCGAUAAUUGCUCCAUCAGUAAGUUUGAUAGAAAAGUUUGGAUAAUAGUUUGAAAAUACUGAACCACUUUCUAGAUUUGAUUCUAGAAGUGAAAGUAAUGAAUUUUCAAAAUUGAGAUGUCUCUUAUCUCUAAGAGUAAGUAAAAUUGGAACAUCAAGACCAAGUCUAAACAAGGGCUUGCCAGCUUUUUGAACUAAUCCAACAUGAAAAUAUUUAAAUUUCUUCCUGUGGGAUUCAAUAGCUUCUUUUGUAAGUAAAUUAAUGAAAGAAUUUUGACUAUUAAUUGAAAUAGUUUGUUCAAUAGUUUCGAUAACAUAAUUUUGAGAAAAAUCAAAUUUUCCUAUUUCAUAGAUGGUAUGUUUAUCCAUCUUUGGAAUAGUCCAAUUUUGAAGACAUUGUUCAAUUUGUGCAAUUUGAAGUUCAUGAGAAUUGAAAUCAUUAGAUGCAGAUGCAUGAUCAAUUUCUUCUUCUGUUUGAAAAAUAUUAGUUCUAUUCUCAUUUGAUUCAUUUUCACGUCUAUUUCUAGACCUCGAUCUCUUUAACAAAUUAGUAACUGAAGACAUAAUUGAAUAAAAAUGAAAUUACUAUAAAACAAAGUAAGAGGAUUAACAAGUUCUCCCCAAGCCUACAACGGGACCACCUUUCAACGCCUACACCGGCAACACGGGCUGACCAAAUCUUAAUAGCAAACGUUUAGGUUUGAACAAGGCUUUCCUAAAUAUCUUGUGCCUAUAGUGUUUGACAAUAAUAUCACUUUACUCUCUUAUGGCUCUGAUACCAAAAUAAAGAAGAAACGAUGUUUUCAAAAAUUAGUAUUCUUAGGGUAUUGUCUUACGAAGACUAGAGACAAAACCCAUGGGAAGAAAAGAGACUUAAGCUCUCUUCAAUAUAUUUUACAACUUCUGAAUAUUUCAAUUAUUUUGAUUAUAUCAAUGCCUGGUACAUAGUCUUUUUCUUUAGACAUGUUACUCAUUCAUGGUUCAUUCUUUUUAAUCAAAAUUGUCAUCCUCAUUUUCCAAAAUGGUUUCAAACAUGGUUUUUGUAUCAUGGAUUUGAAGAAAAAUUUUUACUCAGUCUUACUUUUCAAGGAUAUGAAUACUUCAAAAGAGAGGCUAAAAUAUUUUUAAAGUUUCAAGAAAAUGUUUUGUUCUAAUUUGCCUUCAAUAUGAAAGUUUUCUGGAUUUUUUGCUGGGAUUUCUUUCUACUACAGAAUCAAAAUAAUGAAUUCUUCACUCAAAAGAUUACCAGAAGAUUCAAAGUCAAAUGGUGGUUUAAAUUCAAAGAAACAAAUUGUUGUCCAAAAGCAGUUCAAUCAUGGAUUCAAGAACAAAGAAAUUUGGGUGUCCCAAAAUUCUCAAAGAAAGAACAAGAUAAUCAGGCAGAUUUUCUGACUGAAAAACAAAUGAUUAUUUCAAUGUUAUCAAAAUGCAAAGAUCCAAAAGAAUUAUUAGAAAUUGAUGAACAAAUUUCUAAAAAUGGAUCUAAAAAAUCAAGUACUCAAGAAUUUGAUCAAGAAUCUCAAGAGACAGACAAUGGUGAUGACCUAAUUGAUUUAGGUUAUGACGAAUUUCUUGUUCAAGAAAAGAGGAUCAAACGACUACAAGAACCCAGUUUUUUUCGAAGAAUUGAGAAAUUAGCGGAUCAAUAAAUCAAGGGAGAUUCUUUUCAAAUUAUGCAUGCCAACUAAUCAGCUUUUUCUCAAAAUAUUGUUGUCCAUUUCAAAAAAAGAUAACUUUAUUAAAGAAGGAAUCUUUCUUUUUAAAGUUAUUCAAAAGCUGGUAUCAUAUUUCAAGAUUUUUCAUUAUGUUGUCUCCCACUCAACUAUUCAAGAUUCUUUCCAGCAAAUGAAAGGAAUUUCAAGUCUGAAUUUCAAGUAUAAGAAGACUUCAAGAGUCCAUUUCAAGGCAGAGCGAAUUUGACAAUAGAAGUUUAUUUUCUUUGUUAUUUUUGUUCUCUAAACUUACAAAAUUGUAUUUCAAUUAUAAUAAACAUUUCUUUCUCAAUUUGAUCUCUUUCUCACUAUAUAUAUAUAUAUAUUUUUUAUUUUUAUUUUUAUUUUUAUUUUUAUUUUUAUUUUUAUUUUAUUUUAUUUUAUUUUUUUUGGGGGAUAAAUCAACCAUGACAUGUAUUAUUGAGAUGAAAGAAAAAAAUUACAGUAGGAGAGCACAUUAAACUCAUGUUUGGUUUAGAUAAUCGAAUUUUUAGUAAAUUUUGAUAAAAGUUUAUGGAAUGUGUGGUUGAAAAGUUAUGGAUCUCAUGAAAUACAUGGUUAUAAUUAAUGGUUUACUUUGACUUAGAUUUUAUUUUACCUUUUAAGCUGUACCAAAUAGGGACUGAUUAGUUGGAAGAUGAGUUACUUAGAUUGUGAGAUGAGUUACUUAGAUUGUGUUGAUGUUAGUGCAUAUCUCAAUUUCAUAAAAGCUUAAUGAAGACAACAAAAAUUAUUUUAAAAUACACGCAUUCCAAGUUUAUUAAAAUAUAAAACAUAAUACUUGUAAUGAAAGAUGGCUACACAUCGACAGUGUAGUCUCCCAAGCAAAGACUACAGUUUAUUUAAUUAAAACCAAAUUAAUGUAGUCUCCAGCAGAGAUCUACAUUUUUUUUUUUAAUUAAAGUCAGUUUAAUAUCAUGAAACAGAGUUUAUUAACUCAACCAGCUUCUUAGAUAGAUAAGUAAUUUAUCCCCCAGCUUUUUCAGCAAUGCAUCAAGCGAUUGCUAACUCCUUGAUGAAAGCCUCUUCCACUGUUGCACCAGUCAUCACCUCCUCAGUAAUUUUUAUUUUUUUAUUUUUUAUUGUUUGUUGUUGACAGAAUCUUCAAUUCAUGAGGGGAAUUUUAGUAAAAAAUAUAAGGAAGCUUUUUGUCUUGCUAGAUUCAAUCUGGAAGGCAACAUAUCAUUAAGUUUAUGUUCACAUGAUCUUAAUGUUGUUUGAUUUGUUUUGCUGGAUAUGUUAAAGGUGAAGAUUAUUAAGAAUUGAGUGUUGGUUGAUUUCUUUUGUUUCAAAAGGGUACUGAUUAGGAUUUGUGAUGUUAACAGUGAAUACUAAAUGUAAGGUCUGUUUGGAUGCUAAAAAGAUAAGUCUCUAUAAAGGUCGGCCCUAGUACGAUCUCACUCAAAUCAAUAUUACUCGAGUUUAAUAUACAUGAUUAAUUUUGAGCUACCAAACAAGCCCAAUAUUGUUAAGGUAAGCUGAUUUAAUUUAAAAAUUAAUAUUACACAUCAAGUAGUUAUUUUAAUGAGUUAUAACUUGAAUUUGCUUUAUCUAAAUUAACUUUUUCUCAAGUCCACAAUGUGUCAUUUAGUAUGAGUAUCGGAAUGAGUCCAAUAUUGAUAAGAUAAUUUUGAUGCUCUAAUAACUACACAUUUGAUACAAAUAAAUUAUUGAUCCCGAAACUGAUUUUCACUUUAAUCCCUCAAAAUCUCAAAUUUAUUAAAAGGUCCUUGGAUCAAAAUCAAAAGAAUCUAGUUAUGUUUUCACUCACUAAAUAAUCCUAACACGUCACAUUAUCGGCUAAAAAUUAUAUAUUUCUCACUAUUUUGCAAUCUAAUCCCUAAAUUUUGCACUUUUUAUAACUAGAAAUCAUUUUUCUCUUUACGAAUCAUCCUUACAAUAUUCAAAGGACUUCAAAUUAUGCUUCACAAAAAACUUAUUCAUGAUUUCUAAAUUGCACUUCAUUCAAGUUUUUUCAAUUAAUAAUUUUGAAGAUAACUAUAUACAUGACAUUUUUUUUUCACAAACGGGAUAAUUCCGCUAAAUAUUAUGUUAUUGUAGUCUCUAAAGUUGUUGAAAUUUUUUGAUUUUUAUUUUUUUUGCAAUUCUAUCUUUUGGAUUGUUACAAGGCCUCUUGUAAAAUAUAAAUCUAUUAUUUACUUAAACAUUUAAGUAUUUUUCCCGUUUGUAAAAAAAUUAUAUCUAAAGGUCUCAUAACGAUGACUCGUCUAGAGUCUCAAAAUUCUUGGGGCUGCCCUGGUCUCUAUAACUUAUCUCUAUAAUUUGAUCAUUUUGUAUCUUGGUUGUCAUUUUGAGACUGUUCUACUGAAGAGCAUUAUCCACUUUUGGGUAUGCUUAAUGAGGGAAUAGGUAUUGAGAGUGGUCAUGUAAACUAUGGGCAAAAAAUCAUUUGCGUUCAUUUUACUUUUCUACACUAAUUUUUGGUCUUUUUGAUUUUGGGGGUAUAAUCAUUAUUUCUAUUUCUGGGCAUUUCAGUUUAUAAUAAGCAUGUUUGGGGUAGCUUAUAAGCCUGAGAGAGAAAGAAAAUUAUAUGUGAAUCCACAAAUCUCUAUUAGCUAUUUGUCUGGGUGAUUUUCUUUAUCAUGUUAUAAUUGGUGUGAUACAAUCUCAAUUUCUAUUUCUAUUUCAAUUCUAACCAACAUCUUCAUGUCUUGAAUGUCACUUCAAGGAGCAUCCGACAAAAUUUGAACGUCUAUAUCCAAGGGAUAAAAAGCACAAGAUGAGAAAUGAUUUAUUAUUAUUUUCCAAAAAAAGAAACUCUAUCUUCUUUGGUACAAAGUUUCCUAUAUAGAUAUAUUAUCAAAUUUUGUCUCUGAAAAAAUUUAUUUUGUUGGUUCGAGUCCUUAAAAGUGUCAAUUUAUACUGGACUAUGCAUAGUAUCCCUUGAGGCUAGUCUUCUAUGCAACAAGCUCCAUUUAGUGGCAUAGAAUCGUGUUGCUCCGUGGCACAUAAAAUAUUUUAAUUUGAAUUGAAUCUGAAAUUAAAAAGAAAACAAAAAUGUGCUGAGUUUAGGAUUGCCUGUAAUGGUCUAGGAUGGCACAAAAUCUAGGGUUUGUGCCGGAUCCACAAAAGUAUGUUAUGCAUUAACAAGGUAAUUUAUGAGGGUGGCUAAAGUGAAUUCUAAGAAAUGGCAGUAAGAUUACUUUUAUAGGCUGCCAACAUUAUUGAUGGAAAUUUAGGCACAUUGGUACAAAGUGUAAGAUUAGGAGAAUAGAAUAAAGUGGGAUAUAUGUUAGAGAGAUUUGUAUUAAGGUGAAUUACGAAGUUAAUACGGUGUACAAAAAAAUAUUUAAGUACUAAAAAGUAAAAGAUAAAACAAAAAAUAUUGAUAAUAUUUUUAUUUAUAAAUAAUUUUUUAAUCAUAAACUAGUUUUCAUGUAUGAUUAAUUUUUUGACUUGUAAGCCAUUCUUUUCUUAUAAGUAAUUUUUAUUUUGUACUUACAAGUGGAUUUUUACUUUUAGCCAAAUAUUUUAUCAUUAAGUGAAUUAUUUUACUUGUCGUAGAUUUUGAAUUGUAAGUGUAUGUGUUCAUAAAUUUUUACUUAUUAGCAAAUUUUUACUUAGUAAAUAAAUUAUUUAACAUAGAAGUGAAUGUUUUACCUAUAAGUUAAAUUUUUACUUGUAAAUGAAUUUUUAAAUUUAUGAAUGAAUUUUUACUUAUAUGAUAUAAUUGAGACAAAUGUAAAAUUUUGCCUACCACGUGUUAUAUAUCUUUAAGAUAAGAUAUUUCCAAAACUAAUUUUAACUUCACAAAUGGGCCCCCAAGUUUUUGUCCAAAUAUAAAUACGACAAUUACGAGUGAACCAAUAUUUUAAUAAGUGAAGUUUCAGUUUCAUGGUCCUUCAUAUUAAAUGAUGAGCAGGUUCAAAGCUUUUAAAAGGUCUUUCAAUAUAAUUUUGAAAUUGAGUCAAAUGUAAAUAUUUUUCAUGAAUAUUUUUAUAUAGAUGUUUAUCCCAUGUUAUCUAAAUUAGAUUCCAUAUUUUUUAAAAUUAUAAUUGCACAAAUGGUCCUCAAGUCUUCUAUGCAAAUCUAAACACAACAAUCACGGCUGAACCAAAAUGGUCAUAUUAACAAUUAUUGGAUAAGGUACCGAUGCUUUUAAAAGGUCACAACCACAUAUUCAUAUCAAUGAGUGUCAUGUUAUCUAAAAUUUGGAUUAGACAUUUCCAAAACAAAUUUGAACUAAUUGUAGAAGUACUACCAACGUGUUGCGAAUAUAUGAAAUCAAGACUAUCAUUUUUAUCAUGACACAUCCUUUCCAUCACUUGUAGUACAAUUUCACCAUAAAAAAUGUUCGUGCAUUAUUCAGUUCUAAUUAAAUGUAAGAGAAGAAAGAAACAACAUAAAGACUUUAUAUUUAUCUAAAAUAACAAAAUGAUGAAAGGAAAAAGAAUUUCCCUUUCAUCUUCAUCUCUCUAAAACAAGUAGUUGAAAUGCAGAACUAGGACCAUCUCUCUUUCUCUCUCUUAAACUAUCCUCUCUUGCCAUAUUUCCCCACUCUAUAUUCUCAAAACACUAAUUCCACUUGGCCAUUCCCCCAAACCCAAACCUUAUUGAAUAAUAUUCAAUCUUGUAGUAGGGUAAUUGCUAUGUCCACAAGUAAAUCAGUCAUCUGAACAUCUGCCAAGAAAUAACAUUGAAUUUACACAGUGGAAAAAGUUGGGAUUUAAGCAAAUAACUCUUAAACUAGAGAAUUAUAUCAGAAUCGCUUUAGAAAUCAUUGGUUAAUUGGUGUGUCGCAUCUACCCAUAAACAUAACAAUUUUAAUGGUUUGGUUUGGGUUUCGAUACUUUAAUUGCAGUUGGAAACUGAACAUGAAUGAUUAUAUAAAUAUUAAUUUCUUUUUUUCAAAGUUGGUCUAAAUUGAACAUGGAUUGGAUCAGAAAAUUACUAUCUUGACCUCCAAAAAAAUAUGAUAUUAAAAAUUUAUUUUAAAUAUAGGUAAUUGAACGUUAUAAAACCAUUAGGUGUAGAUUUGAUGUUUUUCAAAUGCAAUUGUAUUACUAAAAAUUUUGUUAGAUACAUCAAUUUAAAAUUUUUUUUAUUUAGUUAAAUAACCUUAAGUAAAAUUACAUAAAUAUGGUUUUAAUACAUUUAUCAUGUAAAAUAAUUUAUUGUUAAACCACAAUCAUAAACCUAAUUUUCUUUCUUUCUUUUCCCUCAACAGCCAUGCCAUAGCUUUUCCGUCGGUGGCCUUUGCGUUCUAUCACGAUGGAAAAUAAUUAUGUUUUUAGUCUGACUUUAUACAUGUUUGGGCAGCUAAGAGAGUUCUUUAGGCCGUCUAAUUGAGUUCUGAUAAUCUUGUUUUUAUUUAUUUCAGAUUCUGUUUCCUCUAGGAAGGAUACUUGUAACAAUUUUCAGAUGUUUGUGGUUACAUCAUGUUUGUGGUUACAUCAUUUAUAACACUUAUAAUUGGAGCAAAUGAAGCCAAGGCAGCCGAUUCAAUGUAGGCAAGUAAACAUAAAUUAUUUAAUGUCGUCUUGAAUUCUUACGUUAAACAGGAAGAUGACAUCUAGUAUGAGGCUUUCUACCAAGUGUGUGUCUUUCCAUCACUUGUAUUACAAUUUCUCCAUAAAACUUUUAAAAAAAAUAAAAAUAAAUCAUGCAUUUUUCACUUUUAAUUUAAAUGUAAGAAACGAAAGAAACAACAUAAAGACUUCUUCUUCAUCUAAAAUAACAAAAUGAUAAAAGCAAAAAGAAUUUUCUUUUCAUCUUCAUCUGUCUAAAACAAUUGCAACAGAAAUGUAGAAACCCUGUCUCGCCAUAUUUCCCCACUCUAUAUUCUCAAAACACUAAUUUAAUGAUGUCGUUCCAGCUACGAUAUUUUAAUUGUAGUUGGAAACUCAACAUGAUUGAUUAAAAAUAUUAAAUAAACUAAAUACAAAUAUUAAUUUUUUUUUUUCAAAAUUUGUCUAAAUUGAACAUGGAUUGGACCACAAAUUACUGUCUUAACCUCUAAAAAAAUUAUGAAUGCUAAAAUGUUAAUUUAAAUAUAGGUAAUUUUGUCAAUUGUCACUUACCAACUACCCUAAUUUCCUACACCAAUCAAUCCUUCAUGAUUGAUAGUUCAUACUUUAGACUCCAAACCCUCUUUACACUUGAAAUGUUGAAGGCUAAAAAGCUCUGCAAUAUCAUUGAUUAAUAGAUAUUUUGUAUAUAUGUGUUUAUGUGUUGGGGGGGAGCGUUUGUUUGUUUCAUUGUCAAUAAUGUGGGAAUAAAAAGUGAAUUAAAAAAAAGUACAUCGAAAAACGAAAAUUUAAAACGUAAUAAAACAUAAGGUGUAGGUUUGAUGUUUCUCAUGGGCAAUUCUAUAACUACUACAAAUUUUGUUAGUUACACCACAAUUUUGGGUUUGUUUUUUAUUUACUUAAAUAGCCUUAAAUAAAAUUACAUAAAUGAUGUUUUAAAAUAUUUAUCACAUAAAAUAAUUUAUUGCUACACCAUGAUAAGUGCAUUUUGUGUACUUAACGAGUCAUAUUACUAAGCUUUCAUGUCGUGAAAUUAUUGAAUUUUACUUAUUUUUGAUUACUUUUUGUUUGCUUCAGUGUUUGACCAGUUUUGAAGCAAUUGGAGAAGAAAAUGAUCAAUUGGCUAUUAAAUAGAAGUUUGUGGACCAAAUCUCACUUGAAUAAAAGUUGGAGAAUCAAAAUUGAGAGUGAACUCAAGGACUAAAGUGCACUAAUUUAAAAGAAGUAAGGACUUGAAGGGAAAGUGACACUUAGUUGGGCUUUGAAAUUGGACUUGCAAUAGGAGUGAAAUUGAUGAGGAAUUGGAUUCUUUUCCAGUUGGAGUAAUAAUUGGCAAUUGAUGGGAAUAGAAUUAAGGGGUAAUUACAUAAAUACCCACAAAAUGGGAGUCAUUUAGAAAAAUCAUGAUAAAAGUUAUUUUGAAGUAAAAAAUACGGUAAUUUUUUCAUUUAGUGUUCAACGGUAAUUUUAUUAAAUUGAAUCUGAAAUUAAAAAGAAAGUCAAAUGUGUUGCCCUAGCAAAAACUCAUAUUUUGACGGUUUAACACGACACGACCCGACAAAAAUUAGGGGUUGCGCCCAAUUCAUGGAAGUUGUUUGAGGAGAAUUCACAAAGCAUGCAGGUAGUGAGAUAUUAAUGACCACAAAAGGAAAUAAAAUCAUGUAAGUGUGCAUUAACAAGACAAAUGAGGAGGGCAGCUAAAGUAAAUUCUAAGAAACGACAGUAAAGUAAAUUUAGGGCAUCGUCGUAUAAAGUGCAAGAUCAAGAGAAUAGAAUAAGGGGGGGAUUUGUGUUACAGAUAUUUGUAUCAAGGUGGAUUAUGAUAUACUAUUUUAUAACAGUGUUUGAUAUUAUACCAUAUCAAAAAAAUACUCAUAUAUCAAAAACAUUUUAACAAUAAAUAUACACACACAUACACGUUUCAUAAACUUAUGAGUCAUUCUUUACUUUUCAGUGAAUUUUUAUUUUUAACCGAAUGUUUUAUAUACAAGGUGAAUUUUUAUACUUAUAGUAUAUUUUUACUUUUUCAUAUCAUUGCAUAAUCGAGACAAAUGUAAAAAAAAUAAAAAAAUAAAAAAACUAAAAAAACAUAAAAAAAUUCAAUCAUAUCUCUAUGUCAAUGAGUAUCUCGUGUUAUCUAAAUUUUUUAUUAGGUCCUUGUGCCCUAUUUUUCUUCCAAAAAAACAUCAUUAUUUUUCAAAAGAUAUAUCGGUCCUUUUUUACUUACAUUUUAAUGAAAUGUUGAAGGCUUUCUAUCACAAGAGAGAAAGUAAUUUUCAAAUUAAGCAUCUAUUUUGUAGAAAUUAAAAUUAAUUUCAAUCAAAGCCAACAAUUAAUUUUAACUACAUAUUUUACGGGCCUCAUAACUUUUCAAUCACACAGUUAUCAACUAUUAUCAUAAUUUAUUAAAAUCUAAUUUUAAUCCCCAUCAAAUAGGGGGUCAAAAUUGUGCAUUUUGUAUAAAUUCCAUUUUACUAUCUGAUGAAAGUAAAUUACGUGAACCAUCAAGGGUAAAAUCGAUAAUUUGGAUGAGCUAUAUAUCUAUCCUACUCAACCUACUGUAACGUAAAUUUUAUCGGCCUCAUUUUUAUUAUUUCAAAAGUCAACAUCAUAUCUAGCAAAAUUUCAAAAUAAUAUCCAAAAUAGAAGCAUCUACGGAUAUAUCCUAGACUAAUUUGUACCACAAAUGGUCGCCCAAGUCCUUUGUCUAAAUAAGUCUGAACAUCUACGGAUCUAUUGAAUUAAAUGCUAGAAAAGAAACAACACAAUAUAGAAACUUUUGUUCAUCUAACAUAAUAAAAUAAAAAGGGAAAUUAUUUGUUUUAUAGAUACAUUAUAUAUACGAAGCUUGUUUUCAAAAUGUUUAUAAAUAAUUUAAUUUAUAAAUAAAAUAAAAAUAAGUUGUGGAUAAGUAGCUAGAUAUUACUUAUAGGUCCCAAUAAUUUGUGGGAAAAAAUAAUUUAAUUGUUUAUUAACAGUUUAUAAACAUUAUCUAAACAUAGGAAAAGAAUGAAAGGAGAAUGUUGAUAAAGGAAUUACCUAGAAUGCGUAUGGACAAAAUUUUCCCUUAAGAAAUAAGGCAUGUGCACACAAACCACUUUGACAAAUCAAUUGGAUGGCAGUUAACGAAAAUGAUAAUUUUGUAGUAAAAGAUUCAAAUGAGGACGGCAGGGCUUUUGGAAACAAGGUCCAUACGCAUCUAAUAGGUUUACCUUUUAGAAUGAAACACCAGUCCCAUAUGAAUGCACAAGAAGGAUCUCAAGUUUGCAGUUGAAUGGAUGAAGCUGCCCUAAGUUGGAUCAUGAUGAGGAAAAAAAUUCAUAGUUGGUUCUUAAGAUUUAUGGUUGUAGAAGAAAAAAUUCACCUAACUUUUCCUGAGUGAAAUAAACAAGAUGAUUGAAGAGGUGAAACUGUGGCGUAGGCACAUUAUUCAAUUUAAAGAGAAACGGAAGAAAUCCUAUUUGAGGGCUUUGGACAAUUCGAAGUGAAGUUGGAGAUUCAUAAGAAUCAACAUGGUAUUAGUCAAUUAGAAUAUAAUUUGUAUUCAUAUGUCCACAUAAAGUAGGUUUUUUAGCUUUCUAUUUGUAAUGAAAGUACGUAUAAAUCUAUAUUACAUAAAAACUAAAAUUUCCUUUCGUCUCCCUAUAAAUAAAGUGUUUAUUUCACCAUUUAUUUAUCCCAAAUUUUUACGAUAUUUUUAGCAAAGCACCAUCACAAUCUCGAUGUAUUUUUCAGGCUCCACUAAUAUAAGACAAAGGGCAUUAUAAUUUUUCUACCAAAAUAUGAAUGGAACGUUAGUGAGUACAAGGGAAAAGGACAUAAACUGGACCUCUAAUCAAAAGUACAAAAGAAAAAAAAAUAUUAAAUAGGGAAUUACUACCUCCUAUACUAUAUAAAGAAAGAAUAAUAGAGCCUAAAUACCAUUUAAAGCGGAAGGCCAUAUUUGUGAAUUUGUACAAGGACAAUAAGUCGUCGAGGUAAGUUGAGAAUGCUAUACUCCUAGUGCUGCGUCAAUUGCAUCCAUCUGAAGUAAGUGAAUUAGCAAUAUGGUUUUCCUCUUGAUAUAUGUAUAAAAUAGGAUCACGAUCGAAGGAAAAAGUUGUAUGAUAUAUCUAAGAGUAUUGUGGAUAAACCAUGAUCCUCUACCACUGGUAAUGUAGGUCGUAGCUAUAAAGAAGCAUGUCUAUCCUCAAGUCCUAAAAUCCAAGUCAACAUGCAAGAUGGAUCCAAUCAAGAAGCUUACAGAUCAACAUAAAAUGAAGUGAAGGCACGAAUACCACCAUCUAUUAUAGAGUGACUAAAUAAUAUUCUUCCAUAUUAAAGUGUUAUAUUGUUACUUCUAUAAAAAUAAUAAUACAAUAUUCUUCUAUAAUACUUUUACGAAAUAAAUUUCAUUCAAGAAAACUCAUCUAUCAAUUAGUAUAGACAAAAUAAAAUUUACUUCUUUGUUAUACAAUUCAAAAUUAAGAGAAUACUUAUAUUUUUUUUGAAGAAAAAAAGUGUUUCUUUAUGAGCUCAAUUGUUAAAAUUUUGUGUCUUUCUUUCAACAUAAGAGAAAUUGCUUUUUCCUAACUCAACUUAAUUAGGGAUUCGAAAGCAAAAAGAUGAAUAAGUUUCACUAACUUAGUUGACUAGAACUUCAUGCUGAUAGUAUAAAUAAGUUAGCGGAAAAUAAUAAAGUAGAGAAGUAAUUAAGCAUACGAGCAUUUUAAUAAAAAAAUCAAAACUCUAUAUAUGGGGAAGAACUAGGAUGGUAAUGAAUAAAAUAGUCAUAUAACUAGGGUUGCAGGUAUAUAAUGAUAAUUUAUUAGUAUAUAAUUUUCAGCAAUUUGUUUAUUGUCUAUUUUAAUUAAUAAAUGGUAUUAUUUAUUUCCAAACCUACUUGUCUUAUUAUAGUCAGCAAAUGUUAUUUCAACAAACCUCUAGGAUGCAAAUGCACUUUUCCUAUAUUUGUUUGAGAUAAGGUAGUGAUAAGAAUUUAUUUGUUUAUUUAUUUAUUUAUUUUUUGGGAGGAUAAACCAACCACAUUCCGUGGCAUGUAUUAAUAAAAUGAAAGAAAAAUUAUUACAAUAGGGGAUACAUUAAGCUCCUGUUUGAUUUCGAUAAAUAACAUAAUUUUAGUAGAUUUUUAUAAAAAUUGAUGGCAUGCGAAGUGAGAAAGUUAUAGAUCCUAUGAAAUGUAUAGUUAUAAUUAAUUAUUGAGUUUGAUUUAGAUUUUAGUUGACUUUUGAGUUGGACCAAAGAGGAACUAAAUUAGUUGGAAGAUUUGGUACUCGUAUUAUUUUGAUGUUAGUGUUGAUCUCAAUUUGGUAAAAACUUAAAGAAGACAACAAAAAAUGUUUCACAAUAUACUCAUUCCAAGUUUAUUGAAAUAUACAACAUGAUACGGGUAAAUAAAGAUGGCUACAUUUCCACGAUGUAGUCUCCAAGCAAAAACUACAGUUUAUUUAAUUAAAGCGAGCUUAAUGUAGUCUCCAAGUAGAGAUCUACAGUUUAUUUAACUCAACCAGCUUCACAGAUAGAUAAGUAAUUUAUUCGGCUGCUGUUGCAGCAAAGCAUCAAGCGAUUACUAUCUCCUCGACGAAAGGCUCUUCAUUUGGGCAAAUUUUUCCGCAUGAACACUGGUCGUUAAAUGCUGAGCAGCAUCCUCCUGGAAAACCCUGAAGCUUGCAGAAUUGUUUACAAAGAUCCACGUCACAACGUCGAACUAGAACAUCCUCCACGAGAGGACGACUCGUGAUACGUGGACAAACUCCUGUGCAACGACACGGACCAGAUGGUCCUGGGCAGCAUGCUGGCUUACCAAAAAGUGAGCAAUAUUUUCUACAAAGAUCCCAGUUACAUUGUUUCGCAUCCACCACAAGAGGACCACUCAUAUCUGUUUAAAACAAGGAAAGAGUAUGAGAUACAGAAACACAGUUUAAUAUAUAAUAUAGUCCAAAGUAAACAAAUACGAAUGCUUUGCUAGCCUGCUAUGAAAAUUAAAGUUGUUCUGAUUAUUUCAAAUUUGGUAAAUUAACAUGUAUAUAGUAUGUAACAAGCUAUGGAGUUGAAUAAAUUACGAACCAGUGGACAGGGAAACCAACAGCAGGAGGGACACUAUUGCAAAUGACCUCACAGAGAACUCCAUAAUUAAGAAAGAGAGAGAGAUAAUAGGAAGCUUGAGUGAAAGACUCCCUGCUUGCGUCUCUUUAUAUAAUGUUUUAAGCGUGCUACCAAAAUUGAUAUAAAAUGUUGGAAAAAUGCUUGUUGUACAUUAUCAUAUUUACAUAAUUUUUUACAGAUUGAUGUAUAAUUUUUAAUUUUUUUUAGUUGAAAGAUUUUGACCCAAACAAAUCUCGUCACAUUAUCUGUCUGUAAACAAAUAUGUAAAUUGUGAUAUAUAUGUAGUACAAACUUUUACGUAAAACACAACUUUUUUAAUGGAGGGUUUGCACAAGAUGUUGACACGUGGACUUGUUGAGGCUUUUAGAUUUACUUUUGGAUAACUUUGCAUGUAACUUUUGAGAGAAACUGCUACAGUUUCUUGGUUCUCCUUCUUUCUUGAAAACUUCACUCGAGAUUCCUAAUAUCCUGCUCCUCCUUUCUGACUUUCGGUUUCUUACUUGGUGAAGAUGAUUAAGAACUAACUGUUCUUUGAUUUGUUUUGUUCUAAAUGGGUAGAUUAGGAUUUGUGGUGUUAUCAGGAAUCGUAAACUUAGGGUAUGUUUGGAUCUAAAAAAAAUUAAGUCACCAUAACUUUAUCUUUUGUAAUUUGACCAUUUUGUAUUUGGAUAUCAUUUUGAGACUGUUCUACUAUAGAGCAUUAUUUUAAUAUUGUGUUUCGUAUUAUACCACAUUAGAAAAAUAAUAUACGAGUACUAAAAGCUGAAAAAAAAAUAUUUUAUGUAUAAAUAAUCUAUAAUCGUAAUUUUAUUGACUAUAUUUUUAUGUAUAGUUAAUUUUUGACUUCUAUGUCAUUCUUUUCUUAUAAGUAAUUUGUAUUUUUGUACUUACAACUAAAUUUUUUUACUUUUAGCCAAAGACUUUACCUGUAAGUGUAUUAUUUUUCUCAUCGUAGAUUUUACUAUUGUUAGUGUAAUUAUGCAUAAUUUUUAGUAAAGUUUUAUUUUCUAUAAAUUAUUUAACAUAGAAGUGAGUGUUUUAUAAAAACCUUAAUUUUUUACUUGUGAGUGAAUAAUUUUUCAAUUUUUGAGUUAAUUUUUACUUGUAUAAAUGGUCUUUUCAUGUCAUUGUAUAAUUGAGACAGACGUAAAGACUAUAAGCACGUUAUACAAAUUUUGGAUUAGAUAUUAAUGGUAAAAAUGGUCCUCAUUUCUUUUGUCCAAAUCUAAGCACAAAAAUCACGUGAACUAAAUCUAGUAAGUGAAGUUUCAGUUUUGUGGUCCUUCAUAAUUAAAGACGAGUAGAUACAAAUUGACGAGAAGACGACACAACUCAAGAUCAUUAAAAGGAUUCUAGAUUGGAUGGAUGUAUUCAUCUUUUUUCUUCUCUAUCAUCAAAACUUUAUAUUCUUGUUAUUGAUUGUGUCCAGCUUAACUCAAUUAUCUACACCAUGUCAAUUCAAAGUUGCUCAUUUUUUGUUAAAUUCUUGUUAUUUGUGUUGCUUGUUUUUUAUUUUAUUAUUUUAUUUUGAUGAUUGUUCAACAUUAAAAUGUGUUUGUGAUUUAUAUUAUUUUCUAGGGGUUCGAUAUAAAUUAGCUUAUGGUAAUAAACAACAUAGGGUAUGCUAGUUGAUAGAAAAAUAUUUGUUUCAUUUCAUCUUAACAUUGCCAGAGUCAUAAUCAUACAGAAGUUGUAUAAUGGAAGUUUGGACAAUCUUUUGAGAAGUUAUGUAGAAAAUGAUACGAAAAUGAGACAUUAUUUUCCAUGAAUUUAAAUUCAUUUAUAAUUAAUUUACUAGCCAAACUACUAAAGAAAGCACACUUAUAGUUGUUUAUGGCCAAUAUCUCUUAAGUGCUUUGGACUUGACUCUACAUCCUGUUACUCAUCAUUCUAGUGGAGACACUAAACAAAGAGAAGUUUAUUAAGAAAAUGCAUGAUCAAGUUCAACAUACGACAUGAAAGAAAAAUGAGAAGUACAUGAAGAUUGCGAACAAGCACCACAAAUUCAUUAUACAACAAGCUUAAUUCCUCAUUUUGUGUAGUGAUAUUUCUUGGGUGUUGAUAACAAGAAGUAUUAAAUAGAGAUAUAAUAGAAAAUUAAGUGAUUAAUUAUACUAUUAACAAGGAAAGAGGCCUAUAAUUUGAGACUAUUACGAAGAAAAUUGGAACCGGAUUAAUAAAAUACUAAUGUGUUGGAGAAAAUACGAGAUUAUAAGUAUAAUUUGAAAUAAAGAAUGCAAGAAAAAUGUAAUUUGCAGAGAAUAGAGAUUUUAAUACAAUAUGGAGAAAGAAUACAAUUUUUUUUAUAUUUACAAUGUUUCUAACUUCUUCUAAAUUAUAAUGAAGAGCCAACUAUAUAUAGGGGAUAUCCAAAACUUAAUAGGAGAGUGAUGGUUGAAGUAGAAUGCAAGAAAUGACAUUAAAAAUUGAAUAGGAGACAAAACAAAGCACACUCCCUAUUUCUAUAUAUUGAGGCGCGGACCCGGUAUUUCAAUAUAAAGUUGUCAGCCCCUACGCCCCUCGUCUCCAUUCCAAACAACUUUCAAGGAUGUUUUUCUUCAUUCCAAAGUCCUUUUCAAGUCUACUUGAAAUUUGGAUUUUUAAAUAGAACCUUAUCUAAAAUUUAUCAAAUAGGCAUUGAACAGGUUUUCCAAAAAAAAUUCCAAAUAGAAUUUCUCUUAACGUACAAAUUUGCCAUCUAUGGCUUUUAAAACUUUUUGUUGAACCAAAAUUCCCCUUAUCUUUUGUUGCCGAAAUGAAAAAUCUUCUUUCCCAUUGAAAAUCCAACUUUGAAAUGUGAAGACGUUUUGAGAAAAUCGAACAACCAAAUGCACAGAUAAGUCACACAAAGUAAUCCUAAAAUCGCAGUAUACACCGUUCUAAAUUCCUAGGGUUUUGUAAGAUUCGCUAUUUUAGAUCAAGAAAAUGUUCAAACGGAUCAAGUCCACGUGUUCUAAUAGGAUAAUCAAUGCAACACGAAUGUAUAUUAACAAAAAAUUAAAAUUCUCACAUAUAUAGUCUCACACAGUGACUAUAUAACAAUUAGAGCAGAAACUUAAUUACCAAUUUGCGAUCAAAUUCAACACUUCAAACAUGGCAAAUAAACCCUAAAUUUCAAGCAUAAGCAAUGUUACCCCUUACGAUAACCAAAUCCUAAUGUCACCCCCACACAAUAACACGCUAAUGCUAAAAUUUAAAUUGGAAUAAACUAAUAUACCAAAGCGUACCAAUCUGAGCUCAUAAAUUACGAGGGAUACAAAUUUAUCACUUUAGAACUACUACUAUUCGUCCUAAAGUCUCCAUUAAUUGCAGGUAUCAAUCAGCCACAAUCGACUCCCGAACGUGCGAAGAAUAAAUCUAUCUAGAUUCCACUGUAUAACCUAAAAUAGAAAACUAAUGACACCAAAAUAUCAGAAAUGAUGUUAGGAAGAAACUGCCUUAAGAGAUCUCCCGCCUGCAAACAAAUCGCGCGCCCUCAAGUGCAGUCAAGUUAUUCUGCUCGUUGGUCUCACUUCUUCAUCGAUCACACGCAUGACAGUUGGUGCCGGACCGCUGUACGUCACACUAGUGAUCUCCGUUUCACCACCACUGGAUUGGGCGAAAAUUGCACAAAUAGAUCUGAUUUUUACAUAGUUUUUUGACAAUUUUUUUAUCCUUUUUUGGCCCGUUUCUACCUAUUUCCUGGAUUUUUUUGGUAUGUUUCACAAAUCAAAUCCACCAUCUUGAAGCUGUGAUACCAAUUUUCCCUAAAGCUUGCUCUAAGAAUCAUCAAAAUGGUGUUUUUUUAAGCUUAGUUUAGUGUCACCUUUCUCUACUAAACAACCAAUCCAAUUGACUCCAAUUCACAACUUCGGUUGCUUCUUAAACUCACUCACUAAGGACAAGAUAAUGAUAAUGAUUUGCUACCUCAAUGGCAAGAAGAAAACACCACAAAGGAGGCAAGGAAGAGAUCAAAAUCAAGGAGCUAACCAUUGGGUUUUUUUUUACACAAAGGCAACUGACUUUUUCUCUCAAUGGGCAGCCACGUUUUCUUCACUUUUCUCGGACAAAUCAUACUACAAAAUGGCUAGGGUUAGGACCAUAUAAAAAGGGUUAGGUUAGGCUUUUAGUUAGACUAAUAAUAAAGCUAAAUGGGCCAAGAUUCAAAGUCAUCCAAGAGGGAAUAUAAAUGGGCCGGGUAGAGCGCUGGAUUUGGUUGUUGGUACUUAUUUCACUCAUCAUUCAAGGCCUAUGAAAUAUAUAUUUCCAUGUUAACAUCAUAGCCCGAAAUUACACAACCCUUAGUGCAGAUCUCAAUUUGAUAAAAACUUAAAGAAGACAACAAAAAUUAUUUUACAAUAUACUCAUUCCAAGUUUAUUAAAAUGCUAAGCAUAAUACUUGUAAUUAAAGAUGGAUACACAUGGACAAUGUAGUUUCCAAGCAGAGACUACACUUUAAUGCAGUCUCUAAGCAAAUAUCUAUGUUUUAUUUAAUUAAAGACAAUGUAAUAUCACGAAACAGAGUUCAUUAAUUCAACAAACUUCUUAGAUAGAUAAGUAAUUUAUUCUCCAACUUUUGCAGCAAUGCAUCAAGCGAUUACUAUCUCCUUGAUGGAAGGCUCCUCCACUGUUGCUCUACUCAUCACCUCCUCAGUAAUUACUUUUUUAUACAGUGCAAUUCAUGAGGGGAAUUUUAGUGCAAAACACAAGGAAGCUUUUUGUCUUGCGAGAUUCAAUCUGCAAGGCAACAUAUCAUUAAGUUUAUGUUCACAUAAACUUAAUAUAAAGGCAAGAUCACACGAUAUUAAAUUCAAGAAACAAGAAAACCUUAAUCAAACAGAAAUAAAACAUUAGAAAAAUGCCACUCUGCCUGAAAAUGUUUUGACACUAGGUGUGAUUGUCUAUCCUCACAAAGUGUGAGGGUUCCACAUGAAUUAAAUAAUGUCCAACCCUCGAGGUGGGUGUGUUCAGUCAUUUCUUAUGUCAAUCAUUAUGUUCCUCUAGCUUGAUCAAAAAAAUUAGGGUCGCGCCAAAUUCACGAAAGUUGUUUGAGGAGAAUUCACAACAUAGGCAAGUAGUGAGAUAUUAAUGACCACAAAAGGAAAUAAAGUCAUGUAUGUGUGCAUUAACAAGACAAUUGAUGUUUAUUUAUUUUAUUUUUAACUGAAUGUACUUUUGAGUCAUUCUUUACUUUUCAGUGAAUUUUUUAUUUUUUAUUUUUAACUGAACGUUUUAUUUACAAGGGGAAUUUUUUUACUUAUAAUAUAUUUUUUACUAUUCAUAUCAUUGCAUAAUUGAGACCCAAAAAAAAAAAAUCAAUCUUAUUUUUAUGCAAAUGAGUGUCUUUCAAAUUAAGCCUCUAUUUUGUAGAUAUUGAAAUUAGGAUUUUAAUCUAAAUCAAUGUCAACAAUUGAUUUUAACCACAUAUUUUAUGGACCUCAAAAAUUUUCAAUCCUGUAUCAACUUUUAUUAAAAUCUAAUUUACUAUCAAACAGGGAUCAAAUUUGUGCAUUUUGUAUUAAAUUCCAUUUUGCUCUAAUGAAAGUAAAUUACGUGAACCAUAGAGGGUAAAAUCGACAAAAUGGAUGAGCUAUCUAUCUAUCCUACUCAACCUACUGAAACGUAAAUUUUGUCGGCCUCAUAUAGAUAUAUAUAUACACACACAAAACGUCCCUACCUUUUGUUUUUUUGGCGCAUUUCAUUCCUACCUUUACCUUUUCUUGUGGAAAACAUCAUUUUCAUCAUUUUUCUCAAUAAAAAGUUAUAAAAGGACUAAUAUUCCCUUCUAUUUAAAUUUAAAAAAAUAAAGAACUAAUUGCAAUCAUAGUUCCAAUUUUUAAAAAAGUUCAAAGGAGAAAGUGGAGGUGGAGAAUUUUUUUUAUCUUUUUAUUUGAAACUACAAUUGCAUUUAGGUCUUUAUUUUUUUUAUUUAAAUAGAACGGUAUAUUAGUCAUUUUAUAGCUUUUUAUUGAGAAAAAUGAUGAAAAUGAUAUUUUGCACAAGAAAAUGUAAAGGUAGAGAUGAAAUACGCCAAAAAACGAAAGGUAGGGACGUUUUCCACAAAAAUCAUGAAAGGAAGGGACGUUUUAUGCUAAUUACCUUACAUAUAUAUAUAUAUAUAGACUAAUUUGUACCACAAUUGGUCUCCCAAGUCUUCUGUCUAAAUAAAUAUAUACACUACAAUCACAAGUGAACAGAAAUUAGAAUAAGUGAAGUAAGUUCUAGUUUCGAUUUUACCAUUUGUACAAGAAAAAUGCACAUAAGGUUUUACAAGUGUUGAGUACCAUAAUUGCUUUGAAAGUCUUUUCAUAUCAUAUAAUUGAGGUAAAUGUAAAAUUUUUCAAACCUUCAUGAAUUAUUGAAUAAAUGUUUGAAAAGAAACGAAACAAUAUAGAAAUUUUUUGUUCAUCUAAAAUAAUAAAAUAAAAAAGGAAAUUAUUUAUAUUAUAGAUAUAUUAUAUAUAAGAAGCAUGUUUCCGAAAUAUUUAUAAAUAAAAUAGAAAUAAAUGGUGGAUAAGUAGGUAUUACUUAUGGUUUCCAAUAAUUUGUGGUUAAAAAUAAUUUGUUCGUUUAUAAAUAGUUUAUAAACAUUAUCUAAACAUAAGGAAAGAAUGAAAGGAGAAUGCUGAUGCGGGAAUUGCCUAGAAUGCGUAUGGAUAAAAUUUUCCCUUAAGAAAUAAGGCCUGUGCACACAAACCAUUUUGACAAAUAAAUUAGAUGGUAGUUGAUGAAAAUGAUAAUUUUUGUAGUAAAAGAUUCAAAAUGGGGACGACAGGGCUGUUGCUAGGAGUUCAACAAAUUCGCACACGGUAUUUUCUUGAAAUUGAUGAAGGGUGUGUGGUGGAAAAUUUGUGUCGAAGCCUUGGUGAACUCCUAGAAAAGGCAACUAAGAAGUUUCGCCAUAAUUUCUAGCUAGGUUAUCGGCAUGGAAGGAUUUGAAAUUUUUAGAACUUAGUGAUUCCACAAGCAUAUAUACAUUAUGGUGGCGUAUGUUGGUUCUCAGUCUUAAGAAUUAUGGUCGUAGAAGAAAAAAUUCAAGACACUUUUCGUGAGUGAAAUAAACAAGAUGAUUGAAGAGACGAAACAGUGGUGUAGGCACAUUAUUCGAUUCAAAGAGAAAUGGAAGAAAUCCUAUUUGGAGGCUUUUGACAAUUCAAAGUGAAGUUGGAGAUUUGUAAGAAUCGACAUGGUAUUAGUCGGUUGGGAUAUAAUUUGUAUUUAUAUGUCAACAUAAAGUAGGUUUUUAGCUUUCUAUUUGUAAUGAAAGUUUUUAUAAAUCUAUAUUAAAUAAAAACUAAAUUUUACUUUUGUCUCCCUAUAAAUAAGUGUUUCUUUCAGCAUUUAUUUACCCCAAUUUUGUAUGAUAUUUUUAGCAAAGCACCACUACAAUCUCAAUAUAUUUUUCACGCUCCGCUAAGUUAAGAUGAAGGGCAUUAUAAUUUUUCUACCAAAAUAUGAAUGGAACAUUAGUAGGUACAAGGGAAAAAGGACAUAAACUUGACCUCUAAUCAAAAGUACAAAAGACAAAAAUAUUAAAUAGGGAAUUACUACCUCCUAUACUAUAUAAAGCAAGAAAAAUAGAGCCUAACAGACCAUACUUGUCAAUGUGUACAGUGACAUUAAGUCAUCGGGCUAAGUCGAGAAGGCUAUACUCCUAGUGCAGCGUCGAUUGCAUCCUUGUGAAGUAAGUGAAUUAGCAAUCUGGUUUUCCUCUUGAUAGAAGUAUAAAAUAGGAUCACAAUCAAGGGAAAAAGAUGUAUGAUAUAUCUAAGAGUGCUGUGGAUAAACCAUGAUCCUCUACUACUAGUGAUGUAGUUAAUAGCUAUAAAGAAAGCCUGUCUAUCCACAAGUCCUAAAAUCCAAGUCGACAGGUAAGAAGGAUCCAAUCAAGAAGCUUGCAGAUCAACAUAAAAUGAAGUGAUGGCACGAAUCCACCAUCUAUUCAAGAGUGACUACCUAAUAUUCUUCCAUAUUAAUGUUAUAUAUUGUUACUUCUAUAAGAAUAACAAUACAAUAUUCUUCUAUAAUAUUUUACGAAAUAAUAAAUUUCAUUCAAGAAAACACGUCUAUCAAUUAGUAUGGACAAAAUAAAAUUUACUGCUUUGUUAUUCAAUUCAAAAUUAAGAGAAUACAUGCCUUAAAACCUUUCGCUCGAGCCUCUUGUCUUGAAUGCAGUCCAUUGCCCAUAAUCUAAUAAGGUAAGGAAGAAUAACAAACUUCAAAACUUCUUCCAUCAUUUCAUUACAAAACCAAAAAACCUGAAAAAGAUGGAUUAUUCUCUAAUCAUGUUGGAGACGGAUUCCUGAACCCUGUUCACGUCAUGUCACGUCGAGGUACAGUAAAAGAAAAAAACAUUAUUCUUUAUGAUCUCAAUUGUUAAAAUUUUGUAUCUUUCUUUCAACAUAAGCGAAAUUGCUUUCUCCUACCUCAACUUGAUUAGAGAGUCGUAAGCAAAAAGAUGAAUAAGUUUCACUAACUCAGUAGACUAGAACUCCAAACCUAAUUGUCUUAUUAUGGGCAGCAAAUGUUAUUUCAACAAACCUUGGGGAUGCAAAUGCACUUUCCCUAUGUUUAAUUGAGAGAAGAUAGUGAUAAGAUUUUAUUUUAUUUAUUUAUUAUUAUUAUUUUUUUUUUUUGGGAGGAUAAACCAACUACAUUAAGUGACAUGUAUUAUCAAAAUGAAAGAAAAUUUAUUACAAUAGGGGAACACAUUAAGCUAAUGUUUGAUUUCAAUAGAUAUCUUAUUUUUGUAGAUUUUGAUAAAAAUUGAAGACAUGCAAGGUGGGAAAGUUAUGGAUCCCAUGAAAUGUAUGGUUAUAAUUAAUUAUUGAGUUUGAUUUAGAUUUUAAUGCACUUUUUGAGUUGGAUGAAAGAGGGAAUAAUUAGAUGGAAGAUUUGAUACUUGAUGCUAGUGCUGAUCUCAAUUUGAUAAAAACUUAAAGAAGACAACAAAAAUUAUUUGACAAUAUACUCAUUCCAAGUUUAUUAAAAUACACAACAUGAUAUAUAAGCACUUGCAGGCGAAUAAAUAAAGAUGGCUACAUUUCCACAAUGUAGUCUUCAAGCAAAGACUACAGUUUAUUUAACUACAGCCAGUUUAAUGUAGUCUCUAAGCAGAGAUCUACAGUUUAUUUAACUCAACCAGCUUUACAGAUAGAUAAGCACUUUAUUCGCCUGCUGUUGCAGCAAAGCAUCAAGCGGUUACUAUCUCCUUAAUGAAAGGCUCUUCGUUUGGGCAAAUUUCUCCACAUGCACACUGGUCAUUAAAUGCUGAGCAGCAUCCUCCUGGAAAACCCUGAAGCUGGCAGAAUUGUUUACAAAGAUCCACGUCACAACGUCGAACUUGAACAUCCUCCACGAGAGGACGACUCGUAAUACGUGGACAACCUCCUGUGCAACGGCACGGACCAAAUGGUCCUGGGCAGCAUGCUGGCUUACCAAAAAGUGAGCAAAAUUUUUGACAAAGAUCCCAGUUACAUCCUCUAGCAUCCACCACAAGAGGACCACUCAUAUCU
Molecule: long non-coding RNA, 55988 nt
Filed under: Olea europaea (common olive)
Lineage: Eukaryota; Viridiplantae; Streptophyta; Magnoliopsida; Lamiales; Oleaceae
Description: long non-coding RNA (OEUR_LNC002819)
Source: RNAcentral